This 65177-nucleotide long non-coding RNA is filed under the name Citrus x clementina. RNAcentral describes it as "Citrus clementina (C. clementina) long non-coding RNA (CCLE_LNC003293)". The record is from RNAcentral. Lineage: Eukaryota; Viridiplantae; Streptophyta; Magnoliopsida; Sapindales; Rutaceae.
CCUAACUCUUCCGGACAAUACUGGCAAUUUCAAUAAAAUUACAACCUAAUAGAGUAAAUCCAUCUACUAAACAUCCAAAAUUGACAAUGUAAAAUUUCAAUAUCACUAAUAACACCCCAAACCUAAAUUUUGCAGCAAAUUGAUGGCACAUAUGAGGGUGUUUUAGAACAUAGUGUAUCUUAAAUUAUUUUGGAUUAAAUAACGUGACCUUUUUUGGGUGAAAACAAAUUAUAGCACACUUAUUUUAAAGGGAAAUUAUUAGUCAUAUACCCUUAAAUAAUUUAUUGCUGUUCAUUUUCUUCCACUUUCCAUUUCUUUUGCUUCUGAACUCCACGGCUCUAGUACUUCCUGGAAAUGCACUUCACUAUGAACGGAAGGUUAUCUCACAAUCUUAUACAUCUCAGCCAGUGUCUCACAAUCCACUUUUGCAACCAGUGAAGCGCCUGUAACUUUCCAUGCUGACGAGUGAAAAAUCACCUGCACACGUUGAUUGUUUUCAAUGAAGUUGGUGAAAUUUCUUUCUGUCAAAGCAACCACAUCCUUCUCAUUGAUGAGUUCUGGUGGCGGCAUCAUCUUGCGAUUGACAGAGCGGGGAGUGCUAAUAUAUCUGAUGGCUGGUAAUACAUCGUCGUUUUGUUGCUUGGGCUCGAGGAAUGCCAGGUUUAGUACGGCUUUGUUGUAGAAUUGAUUUGGUACUGAUGGCAAAUUAUUGCAAUAUUUUUGAGAGAGAGGUGUGAAGGUUAAGAUUUUGCAGCGGAGAAGAAUUGAAAGUAUAAGAAGUAGAAAUGAUUUUGCCAUUGCCAUUGCUUUCUAAUUUCGGAUUAUCGUGUGAGCAAGAUGAUAUAUAGCCGGCUAAUGGACCUUGGAGAAUUUCUAAAAGAGUGGUGAUAUUGUACCAUUCAGAAAAUUUUUUAUGAUAAAAUUAGUAAUCGCCCUAGUUCUUGCCUUUACAUAAUAAAACCUUUGCAUGAAACAUUUGAUAGAAUUAAUCGAAUUAAAAAAAAUAGACAAAAUACUGACGAAAACAACAGUACUGAAAUAAUAAUAAUUUACUUAAUUAACACGGUAAAUAGGCAGUAAUACGUCAGUUUUGUCUCUUUAUCAUUUUCUAUAAAUUGAAGAAUAUUAUAUUCAUUUUAGACUAACCGGAACUUCAUGUGUCUAGUUUAUGAGACCCAUGUGGCUUUUGUCUUUGUGAUAAUAACACUGUAGAAUUCUAAAAAGUUUGCAAUUUUUUAAUUUUUAAUUUCAUGUAUUUAAUACUUGAUUUUUCAGUUUGAUUGUGAUUCACUUUCUUGAAUUGAGUUAAUUUAGAGAAUAGCUUAAUCUAUGAUAGUGCGGAGAUUUAGUAAAAUUUUCCGUUCAGAUUUAGCCAUUGUGUCCCCUUCUUUCAAUAGAUACAAAUCACCCAAAAGUUCUUGAUUUUGGUAGUUUGCGCUUUGUAUUGCAACGUACGGUGUGUUCUAUAUGAGAAAAAAAAAAUAUUAAACAUUUCUGUUGUUUUCUUGCAGUGCCACCUGAUGCUUGAUCUAUUUAGUCAUCAAAUUGAUGUUUAUCUGUUCAUUUGUAUCAACGAGUUAAGAGAAUUAACAGUUUUCUAGAUAUUUUGUACACAUAAAAUAAUGCCAUAAUUGAAUUUGCCCAUGGCCAUGCACAUACAAGUAGUCAAAGCAAAAGAAUCCACAUUCUAAUUUAAAAGAUCAAAUCUAAUGUCACGAAUAUAUAUAUAUAGUCAUAACUAAAAUUUCGUACUUCUGAUGUCUAAGUUACAGACAACAACAAUUGUAUUUGUGCCCAGCCACUUUUGUCGUAAUCAUUUUGUGGGAAAUAGAAAUUGGAUCAGAUACCCUAAAAUGCUUCUUUAAUAACCCUUCUUAUUUUCCAGUAGAGUUGUAUCUGACUGCUGGCUCCUUAACUUGUCUUCCAAGAAAUCCAAUGCAAAUGACUACAAGAACAAGUAAAAAGCUCAUAUCACGACAGAAUCUUGAAUUUUCAUCUAUUAUUAUUCAGCAUUAGGAAAGAUAUACAUAUAAUAAUAAUGAAGGGGGAAAAAUAUGCACACCUUUAUGUUGCUUAGGGUCAAUUCACCAUUCAAUACAUACUUCUCGCCAUUGACAGCAAUUACCUGCAUUGAAAUUUGCAUAGCAACCCAAUUUUUCGUAUUUAAUUACGGAGGAAAUUAAAAAAAAAAAAAGCAUUCAUAAAGAUUUAACAGAAUUUGAUGAUAAAGCAAGGAACUCACUCUUGGAGCAUGACCUGUGAUGCCAAAAUAAUCAGAAAUUUGUCUCCUAUCAGUUUGCAACAAGUCCAUUUGAAAAUACACAAAGAGAAGCUGGCAAACAAUUAAUUUCAUCAAUUAUUAUUUAAGAUCAUAAUGAUAAUUAUUUUGACAGGCUAUUAAUUUCAGUGGGUUUCUGUUAACCAAGUUUCGACAAAAUUUUGCUUGAUCUCCUUACAUCUCUAUAUUUACCUUUCCUUUAAAAGCUUUGGCUGCCUCUUGAAAUAUUGAUUUAGUCUCAGAAUCAUGAACAGUCGCAAAAAGCCAUAACUGAGAACAAAUUUAUGAACUCGUUAAGACCUGAAAAUUUUUUAAUUUUUCCAAGGUAAAGAUGAUGUAAACUAAUAAUUACCUCUUGCAAGCGGGAAUCUAAAAUCAAUGCAGCAGUUUCCCUGGUGUAAGUAAUCAUCGGAGGAAUCUUAUUCAAUGAUAUGAAGUCAUAAAUUCUUGCAUCAGUAAAUGGACCAUCUCAGAAAAUGGAGCAAAAAAUGCACAAGGCUUGUGUAAAUUUUCCAUUUUGAAGCACUCAUAAUCAUUUGCAGAGAGAUAACUUCUAAAACAAAGCAAAGUGGCUAAGCUGUUUAGAUUCCUUUUCCAGCAAGACUAGAGCAGGGCGUUUGAUUUCUGGGUCAAUCAGAAACAUCUUUGCAACAUCAGCUCUAGUAGUUUGAAAGAAUAUAACAUCAGGAUGCAGCUUUGAUGCGGCCGCAAGCUUUUCAUUUUCCGUGCCCUAACAAACAAAAUUGAGUCUUUUGUAACAUUUAUGAUUCAAUAAGAGAUGUUAAAAUAGAAACAGUCUAAGAAAUUGCUCAUAUUAUGUGAGUGGGAGUGGACCUUUAAAGAGUCAAGGAAUCCCAAAGCAAUUGUAGAUUCAGCUGUUAGUAAGUGCUCCGCUUUCUCUAUUUUCAUCAAGGUGUAAAGAUCACCAGACAUCUUAGUCUUUAUAUAAUUCACAAUAGCAUCCCUUCAAAACCAAAAUUUGUGUUAGGUUAGGUUAUUCAUUUUGCACACGUUCUCAACAACCAAACAGAUUUAGAAGGGUUUUAUUGAACAAAAAAAAAAUCCAACAAAAGAAAACAAAUGUUCAAAGAACAAAAAGAAAACUCACUUCGUCCUGUUAUGAUAAUAAGUAUCCACAUGCACUCCAUUAACAAAGAAAUAAAUAGUUGGUUAUGCUUGAAUUCUCCAUUUUUUCCCCAACUCUAUCACGCUCAUAGCAUUAACUUUUUGCUAGCACUGAUUUGUCCUUCAGCUCAGUGGCAGCGGCUUCAUAUUCUGGAGCAAGUUUCUUGCUCUGGGGGGACCAUGGUGCAUAAAAAAGCACCAUCACAUGCUGAUUCUUGGCUAUAACAUGAUUAAAAUUCUUGUCACUUAGUUUCACCACCACAUCUUCUUUUUCAUCAAUUGCCGGUGGCAACUUGUGCUUUUGAUCAUUGAAACUGUUGUAAGAAUCUGAAAGUUCAACAGUGUUUCCGUAAGAGAUUGGAGGAAGUUUCUUGAAUACGGAAACACACAAUACAUAGCCUCCAUCAUAAUCUAUUUUGUAAACACAGAAAGGUGAAAGCCGAAAAAGAAUAAACAAAAGAAAUAUUGUGGUGGAGAGCAAAGGAGAUAAGCUUUUGUUGACAUUGUUGAGCAGCCGGCCUAGAGUAGGUGUUCUGUAAUUUGUACUUGAAAUCUUCAAAUAAUUGUUGGCUAAUGACAAGAGAAAAGUAAUUAAAUGCUCCUUGUGUUAAUUAUUUUCAAAGAUGCAGACAAAAGGCUAAAAAUAUUUUUUAAAAAAAAGUUAUCUUGAUUUCUUUUCAGAAAUUACAUUAUUAACACAUUGUUGAUAGAAAGGAACCCUCUAGCCUGACAAAGCACAAUUGAUAAAGGCAAGAUCCACAUCUCUAUCUCAUAAAACCAGUGCUUUUGUGAACAUCACUAUGGAACAGUACUGUCACUGAAUCUUGAUCAUCUCUUAUUAUAAUCUUUAAAAAGCAUCUGCUUGGAACUUGUAUUAGAAACUUUCUGUAUGUGAAUGGAAUACCUACAUUUGUUCACAAUUAUUUGUUAACUUCUCCAAUUAUUUCUUUCUGGAUCAACUUCAGUAUUUUUGAGACGUAUGCAGAGUUACACAAAUUCACCACCAAUUGGAACAACAAUGUCGAAGACAUAUUGUUGCAAAUAUCACAUACUAACGGAAACUUGCUUCUCUUGCUUUCUCAUUUCAAUUGGGACUAGAGUGACAUUUCUUCUGAGUUCAAAAACGGGAAACAUCUCUGUGUGGCCCAAUCCAUAUCUUGCGGAAUCCUUUGAAGAACGGGCUGAAUCACACCAGGAGGAAGAUACAACUAGGCCCAACACAUAACCUGUUGCAAGCCCAUCGCAAAUGAGAAAAUCACCCAACUGGCUGAAGGAUUAUGUUGUUUGAGAAGCAGGAAGUUGUGGAUUCCUUUAUAGAAUCUUUUAUCCGUUUGAUAUUUUCUUUUGGCUUUACAAUUGCUAUUUUUUGUAACCACCUUUUGUUAGAGGUUCUGUUAGAGGUUGUUAGAGGUGAAGCAUAUAAGCAUUGUAAGGUUUAAAAAGCAAAGGAAUGAAAAUACUCAAUUCUCUUUCUUCUCUGGAAUUUUCUUUCUUCUUAACCUCUGUUCUGCUCUUAAUUCUUUUUUAUUUGGAGCUGGCACUUGCUCGAAGAGUGUUUUGUUGAGUUGAUUUGCUUGUGUUGUAGGACAAACGUAUCAUUGGUGCUUUCAUUGACUUUUCCAUGGCUGAUUCAGAGGUGUUGGCAGCAAUGAAGGCACUCCAAACGUAAUUGGAAGGCCAAACAAUUGCGAUUCAUCAAAACUUGUAGCAGUACAUGUCCACAGUAGAUUCUCAUCUUGAGAAUCUACGUUCUCAGAUCCAAGGGUCUUCGAGUGUUUUGGUUGCAUCAUCAGGUUCCGCACAUCGCUCUUCUCUAGUUGCGGAGGGGCAUUCAGGACACACCGAUCUCUCGCCGAUAUUACGAUCAAUGAAAAUGGAGGUUCCCAAGUUUGAUGACUCUGUCCCGAAUCGGUGGGUGUUUCGUAUUGAAGAGUUUUUUUUAUUUCCAUGAAACUCCAGAGCACUUGCUCCUUCGCAUCAUCACGUUUCACGUGGAAGGGAGAGCGGCAGCUUGGUACCAAUGGAUGAAGGCGAACAAACUGAUAACAACAUGGAAAGAUUUUCUAAUUAGUUUGAAGCAUCAGUUUGGUGCUUCAAUGUAUGACGAUCCUUAAGGUACACUUUCCAAACUUAUACAAACCACCACAGUCGCAAAGUUUCAGUCAGCCUUUGAAGAUUUGAUGAAUAAGGUCACUGGAAUUUAUGAACCCUUGUUGAUCAGUUCCUUUAUCAUUGUUUGAGAACGGAUAUUCACAAGGAGUUGAUGUUUUCCCGCCCUACAUCUCUGAUGAAUGCCUUUGCUCUCGCAGAAGCUUAUAAAGCUCGUUUAGAGGAGGCCAAAAUGAGUGGCCGCCCUUGGACUAAAUGGCCCCCACUGUCGGCCCCAACUAUGACCAUUCCAUCCAUCAGCAAAAUUCUUCCACCCUCACAUGUGCCUAUUCCCACCCCCACCACAAACAGUUCCCAUGUAGCUCCCACAACACACCAACCUCUUAAACAAACAAACCUUCCAACCCUUUUACCUACACCAAAUUUACCAAUUCCCCGCCUCACUCCAGCUAAAUUACGAGACAAAUGAGAAAAAGGAUUGUGUUAUAACUGUGAUAAAAAAUACAGUGCAAACCAUCACUAUCGUAGUAAGUUUUUUAUUCUUAUGGGGACUGACGAUGAUGAAAAUGAGGAUACUACGAAGUUGGCCAUGGCGGAGCCAUUUGAGGAAAUGGUAACGACAGAUAUUUCAAGCUUGAAUGCCCUCGCGGGGCAGGUGAAUCCCCAUUCAUUUUGACUGAUUGGCAAGGUUGGUAACCACUGCUUUCAAGUGCUUAUUGAUAGUGGGAGUACCCAUAAUUUUAUUAAACCUGUGUUGGCUGAACGAUUGGGACUUCCUAUUCAACCCACGACUGAUUUUCAGGUUUAUAUUGGUAAUGGUGACUUCUUGGUGUGCCAACUAUAUUGUUCGCAAGUGACUCUGACUAUGCAAGGUUAUGCAUUUACUCUGGACUUAUUUGUUUUACCAAUUGAGGGGUCGGAUGUGGUUUUGGGUAUUCAGUGGCUUCAACGCUUAAAGAGGGUGUCCCAUGACUAUGCUGCCAUGACGAUGGACUUCUAUUGGGAUGGGAAAUCGAUCAGCCUUCGUGGGGACCACCAAUUCACUGAGUUUAAUUACUUUUAACCAAUUUCAAGCCCUUAUGCAUAGCACAACUGUUCAGAACUUAUUUGAGCUACAACAAAUACAUUCGGACCAAGAUAGAGGCUCCGAAGUCUUAGAACUUCCAGUUUCACUGCCCACUCUGAUUUCUCACCUCCUUUACAAAUUUCACAACUUAUUCUGCCCCCUAACAGGCCUUUCCCCACUGUUUCAUUAACUAUAGAAUUCACCUACUACCAAACACAAAACCAGUGAAUGCUCGGCCUUAUUGCUAUCUUCACUUCCAAAAAACAAAGAUAGAGAAGUUAAUUCGCAAAAUGUUGGAGCAAGGUGUAAUAAAACCAAGCCACAACCCUUUUUCUUCCCCGGUGUUACUAGUGAAAAAAAAGGAUGGCACCUAUCGUUUUUGUGUGGACUAUCGUGCCUUGAAUACAGUUACUAUCAAGGAUAAAUUUCUUAUUCCAACAAUUUAUGAACUACUGGAUGAAUUAGGUGGAGCAACCAUUUUCAGCAAAUUAGACUUGAGGGCUAGUUAUCACCAAAUUCGAGUGCACAACAGAGACACAUACUAGAUAGCUUUUCGAACUCAUAAAGGGCACUACGAGUUUCUUGUGAUGCCUUUCGGCUUGACGAAUGCUCCAUCUACAUUUCAAGCUACCAUGAAUCAAAUUUUUGCUGCUUUCUUACGUAAAUUUGUCAUUGUUUUUUUUAUGAUAUAUUGGUGUAUAGUUCAUUUUUGGCUGAUCAUGUCUCUCACUUAGAGCAGGUUUUAAGUUGCUUACAUAGUCAUUGUUUCUUCAUCAAACUUUCCAAAUGCCUUUUCUGCCAAGAAACAGUUGAGUAUUUGGGUCAUUUGGCUUCUGCUGGAGUUGUUCGUGCGGAUCCACAGAAAAUUACAGCCAUGGUCAACUGGCCACCACCAACGUCCUUGAAACAAUUGCAAGGGUUUCUUGGCCUCACGGCCUAUUUCAAGUGUUUUAUUAAAUGAUAUGCUUCUAUUGCUACACCCCUCACUGACUUAUUGUGCAGAGAUGCUUUCAAUUGGACUCCAACAGCAACCAUCACAUUUGAGGCCCUCAAACAAGCUAUGGUGGAAGUCCCGAUACUGUGAUUACCAAACUUCGAGUUGGAUUUCAUCAUCGAGACUAACGCAUCAAAUGUCGGUAUUGGUGUAGCGUUUAUGCAAGACAACCACCCAAUUUCUUACUUUAGUAAAAAGUUGGGACCAAAACUUCAAGUGGCAUCAACAUAUAUCAAGGAGUUACAUGCCACUACCGAGGCUAUCCACAAGUGGUGACAAUAUCUUCUUGGUCAUUUUUCAUUAUUCGUACCCAUCAUAAAAAUAUCAAAGAACUUCUGCAACAAGUUAUCCAAACACCUAACCAGCAGGUGUAUAUCUGAAAAUUGGUUGGUUAUCACUUUAAGAUUGAAUACAAGCCUGGUCGAGCAAACCAGGUAGCUGAUGCUUUGUCUCGCGUGCAUGAAAAUGAGCCUGUGGAGGCACCUGAGAGAUACUCUGCCUAUUUACCAUUGGUUUCCAGUCCAACUUUUGACUUGUUAGAAACUCUACGCUUGGAUAAUACCACUUGUCCAGACUUGGUACUCCUUCAUAAGCAUUUUGCCGCAGGUGAGCUCUCCCCUGAUUUUUCUGUUUAUGAUGGAUUACUUUUCUUCUGCCAUCGCUAUUAUGUUAGCUCUCAAUCCUCCUUGAAGUCAAUCUUGCUCCACGAAUUUCAUGCUACCCCAUGGGCUAGAUAUGCUGGUAUAAAAUGAACCUUGGUUCGCUUAGCUUCGGUAUUUUAUUGGUAUAAGAUGAGAACUGAUGUUGAAAAAUUUAUAGAUGCUUGCCUAACCUGCCAACAAAUCAAGCAAUCAACUCAAGCCCCAGCAGGAUUGUUACAGCCACUACCUAUUCAAUCAUUAGUAUGGGAUGAGGUCAUUAUAGAUUUCAUUACGGGCUUGCCACUAUCAUGAGGGCUCACUACUAUCCUUGUCGUUGUAGACCGUCUGACUAAAUCAACACAUUUUGGAGCUCUACCUUCUCAAUUUUCAGCUAUGACGGCAGCGGACUUAUUUGCUAACAUGGUCGUUAAACUCCAUGGUUUUCCUAGUUCCACAUUGUCGAAUCGCGAUCCAAUUUUUAUGAGCAAUUUUUGGAAGAAGCUUUUUGAACUAAGUGGCAUUUCCCUAAGGCAUAGCAGAGCCUAUCAUCCGCAGACUGAUGGGCAAUUCGAAGUUGUGAACCACGGGCUUGAACAAUAUUUACGAGCUUUCACUCAAGAAAAACCACAAUCGUGGGCCUCUCUACUCUACUGGGCAAAGUUCAGUUACAACUCCGGCUAUCACAGUGGUCUCAAGAUGACACCAUUCCAGGCAUUGUAUGGGCGUAUUCCACCUACUAUCCUAACUUACUCUAAGGGCUCUACUUCAAUCCAAGCUCUCAAUGAUGCGCUGACGGAGCGAGAUGCUCUCUUGCGCCAAGCUCAGCAUCGAAUGACACAAAAGGCUAAUGCCCAUCGGCGUGAACUCCAACUCAAUAUAGGAGAUCGCGUGUUUGUCCGCCUUCAACCAUACCGACAGACAUCGUUAGCUCAACGAGCAUCCCAGAAGUUAGUGAAGAGGUAUUAUGGGCCAUUUACAGUAUUGGAACGUAUAGGGCCAGUGGCAUACAAGCUGAACCUUCUGUUAGAUUGCAAAAUUCAUUAUGUCUUCUAUAUUUCAAUGCUCAAACCCUUCAGCGGUUCCGGCCUUAUCAAUGGAUUACCCUUACGUCGUGAUAGCAACAGCAAUCGACCACUUUUAUACCCAGCUACUAUUUGUGCCACACGGACAGUCUUACAUCAUGGGAAAGAAGUUCAACAUGUUCUGGUGUAGUGGUCGGAUAGCGCUCCAGAAAAUGCCACCUAGGAAGGUUUCUUUGAGUUUUCGCACCUCUAUCCUGAUUUCACCUUGAGGAAAAGGUGAUUUUUCAAGCCUCAGGGAAUGAUAUAGCAUUGCCAAUCUCUUUGGAGUGGCCUAAUGCAUCUCUUGUGGAAUCCUUUAAAGAACGGGCUGACUCACACCAGGAGAAAGAUACAACUAGGCCCAACACAGAACCUGUUGCAGGCCCAUCGCGAAUGAGAAAACCACCUAGCUGGCUGAAGGAUUAUGUUGUUUGAGAAGCAGGAAGUUCUGGAUUCCUUUCUAGAAUCUUUUAUUCGUUUGAUAUUUUCUUUUGGCCUGACAAUUGCUAUUUUUUGUAACCACCUUCUGUUAGAGGUUGUUGGAGGUGAAGCAUAUAAGCAUUGUAAGGUUUAAAAGGCAAAGGAAUGAAAAUACUCUGUUCUCUUUCUUCUCUGGAAUUUCCUUUCUUCUUAACCUCUGUUCUGCUCUUAAUUCUUUUUUAUUUGGAGCUGGUACUUGCUCGAAGAGUGUUUUGUUGAGUUGAUUUGCUUGUGUUGCAGGACAAGCGUAUCAGUACCGUUUGUGUCACGUUCUCUUAAUAGAAAAAUAUAACCCAAAAGUUCUUGAUUUUGAUAGUUUGUUCUUUGUAUUAGAACGUACGACGUGUUUCAUGAGAAAAAAUAAUAAAAAUUUGCUCUUACUUUUCUUACAAUCUAACAAGGUGCUUGAUCAUUUUGGUUAUCAAUUGAUGUUUAUCUAUUGAAUGCGGUUAUCAAUGAGUUAAAUGAAUAUAAUUAAAGGUAUGAUAGAUAUUUUUAUAUAUAAAAAAUAUGCCAUUAUUUAAUGUGACCUAUGUCGCAGUUAAAAGUAGUCAGCAAAAGAACCCCUUCUAAUGUAAAGGAUCAAAUAUGAAGGCACGAUUAGUGAUUAACUGGAAUAUCUAAGUUAAACAGCACUUCUUAUUGCAUCCAGUCAUUUUGUGGGAAAGGGAAAUUGAAUCAGAUACACUAAAUUGCUUCUUUAGUCAUCAUAUCUGGUACUGGAAGUCUAGCUAAUAACUUUUGCUGAAGUUGUAUUUGAGAAAGAAUUAUUUUUGACUGUUGGUUCCUCAACUUGUCUCCCAAGAAAUCCAAUGCAAAUGACUGCAGGAUCUCAGAUCACGACAGAAUUGUGAAUCUUAAGCCAUUUUUCUGCAUUAGGGAAAAAAAUAUAUAAUAACAAUUACGGUGAAAAGAAUGCAAACCUUUACAUUGCUCAGGGUCAGUUCACCAUUCAAUACAUACUUCUUGUGUUUGCGAAUGCUAGCGACAGCAAUAAACUACAAGUAAAUUUGUAUAGUAACCAUUUUUUCAUAUUGAUGUAUAAGACAAAAGCUACUCCGCAAUCAUAAAGAUUUCACAGAAUCAAGGUAAAGUAGGAAACUCUCUCUUGAAGUAUGACCUGUCACACCGAAAUAGUCAGAAAUUUGUCCCUUAAGUUUCGGGUACAUUUGCGAAUACACAAAGAGAAGCUGGCAAACAGUGAUCAAGAUAAUAUAAAAUCAUAAUGAUAAAAUUAUGUUGACAGACAAUUAAUUUAAAUGGCUUUCAGUUAUCAAGUUUCAACAAUUUUUGCUUGAGCUCGCUACAUAGAUUAAUCUACCAAAUACAAGUCUUUGCAUUUACCUUGCCUUUGAAAGCUCUAGCUGUCUCUUGAAAUAUUGAUUUAGCCUCAGAAUCAUGCACAGUCGCAAAAAGCCAUAACUGAGAACAAAUUCAGGAACAUGUUCAAACCAUAAAUCUCUCACAUUUUCCCGAGGAAAAGAUGUAAAAUUGAUAAUUACCAAUUUCAAGGGGGAAUUUAAAAUCAAUGGAGUAGUUUCCCUGGAGUAAGUAAUCAUCGGAGGAAUCUUAUUUGAUGAUAUGAAAUCAUCAAUUACUGAUAUAGUAAAAGAACCAUCUGAGAAAAUGAAGCAAAAAACGGACAGGGCAUGUAUAAAUCUUCCAUUUGAAGCACUCAAAAUCAUCGCAGAGAUUAUUUGUUUUACAAACCAAAGUGGCUAAGCUGUUUAGACUCCUUUUCCAGCAAGACUAGAGCAGGGCGUUUGAUUUCUGGGUCAAUCAGAAACAUCUUUGCAACAUCAGCUCUAGUAGUUUGGAAGAAUAAAACAUCAGGAUGCGGUUUUGAUGCAGCCGCAAGCACUUCACCUUCCAGACCCUAAAAUUUUUUGUCAUAGCAGUAACAGAUGUUAAGGGAAACACUAAGGCAAUUGCUCAAAUCAAAUGAGUAAGUAUGGACCUUUAAAGAGUUAAGGAAUCCCAAAGCAAUUGUAGAUUGAGCUGUCAAUAACUGCUCUGCAUUCUAUAUUGUCAUCACAGUGUAAAGAUCACCGGCCAUCUUCGUCUUUAUAUAAUUCACAAUAGCAUCCCUUCAAAAUAAAAAGGAUCUCGUUAUUAACAAAUGCACAAGCAUAUAAUAGACUUGCCCCUUUUAACUUUUCCCACUUCUCAACAACUAUAACAGAUUUAAAAGGGCCAUAUUGAACAAAAAGAUCCAACAAAAGAAAACACAUGUUCCAAAAAAACUCACUUCUUCCUGUUAUGGUAGUAAGUAUCCACAUGUACUCCAUUAACAAAGAAAUAAAUGGUUGGAUAUCCUUGAAUUCCCCAUCUUUUUGCCAACUCGAUCUCGUUGAUAUCAUUAACUUUUGCUAGCACCGCUUUGCCCUUCAGCUCAGUGGCAGCGGCUUCAUAUUCUGGAGCCAGUUUCUUGCUCCAGAAGCACCAUGGUGCGUAAAAAGCCACCAUCACAUGCUGAUUCUUGGCUAGAAUAUCACUAAAAUUCUUGUCACUUAAAUUCACGGCAUCUUCUUUUUCAUCACUAGCCGGAGGCAAGUUGUACUUUCGAUCAUUGAAACUUUCAUAAGAAUCUAAUGAUGCAACGGUGUCUCUAGAAGAGAUUGGAGGAAAUUUCUUGAAUACAGAAACACAUAAUACAUAGCCUCCAUCAUAAUCUAUUUUGUAAACACAGAAAGGCGAAAGCCGAAACACAAUGAACAAAAGAAAAAUCGUAGUGGAGAGCGCAAGGAGAUGAGCUUUAGUUGACAUUGUUGAGCAGCCGCCCUUGAGUAGGUGCUCUGCAAUUUGUACUUGACGUCUUCAAAAUAGUUGUUUUAUAGCAGUGAUCCUAUCCGCAAUGCAAAUUUUACUCUGAAUUGCUGGCCAAUGACAAGAUAAUUAUAAUUAAAUGCCUCCUUUUUUGUAUGCAUUUUCACAGAGCAGACGACAAGCUAAUAAAUAAUAAAAUGUAUUUUGAUUUCUAUUCAGAAAUUACACUAUUAACAUCCAGUUGACAGAAAGAAACCCUCUAUCCACCACUAGCUUUAUAAAGCACAAUCGACAAUGACAAGAUCCAAAUCUCUAGCAGAUGAAACCAAAGUUCCUGGGAACAUCACUAUGCAACAGGAUUACACUGAAUCUUGAAAGCAACGAAUUGAAUGGAAUAUUCUUUUGCAGCCAUAUAAACACGCUUCCUAUAUGGCGUUAAUUUGUAUUCUCAACGCCUUACCAUAAUGUGACAUGCUUGGUCAUCUCUCUUUAUAAUCUUUGAAAAGUGUCUGCUUGAACUUUGUAUUAUAAACCUGUUGUAUGUGAAUGGAUUACCAACAUUUGUUCAUAAACUUAAUGAAUUUCUCCAAUUAGUUCUUUCUGGAUCAACUUCAGUAUCUCUGAGACCUACAGAGUUGCACAAAUUUACCGCCAAUUAGAACAACAAUGUUGAAGACAUAUGUAUUACAAGUAUCACAUAUACAAGCAUAUAAUGUGACAUGAUAGAGUUGUAGUUGCAUCACAAACCAAGAUAUAUUAUGAAAGAAUUUUGAGAAAAUACAUCAUUGCUCAUCUCAAAAUGCUGUUGCAAUACAGGUGAAUGUUGAUGCAGUGUUGUGUAUAUCUUAUCAAGUAAGCCUAUGAGCGCAUCCACUUGAUCGCCCAGCAGAUCCACCUGGAAUCCAAGCAGCGUAACGAAUCUUAAGAAAAUUUGCUUGAAAUGCUCUUAAAAUGUAUAUUCAUCAAACCCAAGUUAAAUUCAGUUUGUUUAUCCUAAAAAAAAAUUAAAUUAAAUUAAAUUAAAAAUAAAAAAAACACUAAGGUGAAUAAAACUGAAAUUGCAGCUCAAAACCUCAGUUUCAGCCAUUUGGAGAUUCUUUCUUCUUCUGAUAAAUGCUGUUCUGUAGAGUAAUUCCCGUUUUUGUAUUGAGGAAACAAGCUCAACAAGCAAAUCUAAUCGAUGCUUCAUCUCUUCCAACCUGUACAAAAGUAGCGCAACAUUAUGCUUAGUAAAGGUCAAUCACUUGUUUAAACAAUUAAUUUUGAUGGAACAUGAAUGUCGUAACACAAAUGGCCAUAGUCAAUGUUCACAGUUAGAAUAAAUUAAAGGGGAACUGUAUAUAAAUGUAAACUGAAGUACCUCAAAACUUUGUCUGCUAAUUUUUCUUGUGCUUGGAGCUCAAAAUUUCCAAAUACGUGUGAAAACUCCAGUAUAGGUGUAAACAUGUGUUAGUGAAGCUGCUUAAUAUGAAGAACAGAGGAUUCGAGUGCAGCUUAUUUAGCUAUGCUUGACUGCAGCAGAUUCACUUACUCAGCUGAUGUGGCAUGGUGACGUGGCCUAGUUAGUUAUUCUAAACAAGCAUUCUUCAUAUGUGUAUAACAGAUCACUAACAAAGUGUAACAAGCCACUCUCGUGCAAUAUAUAUAUAAGUGUAAUCUGUUCAGAUAAAAUCAAUAAAAUAGAUUCUAAAGUUUUCUUUAUGUUGCAUUCUUUCAUUUUCUUUAGCUUUCUCACUUGCCAAACAUAAAUACUUAAAGUUCUUUCAACAUGGAAUCCAAUUGGUUUCUAGGAAUCUCUUCAUUUUGUUAUUGGAAAGUUAUGGAAUUUUUGUCAUGCACAUUAUCUGCAGGAAUCAUUUGAUCAUCAACUCUUUCUUGAUCAUAGUCCGCUGUGCCUAAACUAGAUUCCAACUCACUCAUUUUUGUCUUACUUGUAGCUAACCGAUCUAGAGCUUUCUCAAGUUCGCUUCUCACCGAAGUAAAAGUGGACUCAUCCUCAUUCAUCAGUUCUUGAAAGAUCUCAUGCUCGUUCAGCUUUUCAGUUUCCAUUUCCACCCAGUCAAAUUGUUUCUUCUGUUCAUUUACUUCAGAACUUGCACUUACCAUUAGAUCUCCAUCUUCUUCCAAACACUUCAAUAACAUAUCUAGUUUUUUGAUAAAACUCUCCUCUCCAUUUCCCUCAAAACUUCCGUCUCUAUUUUUGGAGGAACUUUUGUCUUGCUUCCGGCCUUCUUCUUGGCAAGCAUCUUUCAUCGCCUCACGAAAAACAAAUUCCUGUAUCUCCUGUCUAAAGAGAUAAUGUUGCAAGCAUCUAUCUCUUUCUUCCACUCAUCAAUAGUUUCCCCGAAUAAAACCAUAUACACAUUCUCCUUCACAAAAUAUUCCACUAUUUUAAGUGACUUGUCAGGAACCUCAACCUCUUGGAGUUUUGUAAAUGUGUAGUUCGCAGUAUUCACAACAUCUCUGAUGGUCUCAUCAAAGACAGCACGAGAAACCUCUUCUGUUACAAGCCUGUCAAUUCUAUAGUUUCCAAUUUUCUCAUUCCAAUCCUUGCAAUGUACAAAUUCUCCUUAAAGUCGUGAACAAAACCAUUAAUCAAUGUACAAAUUGCAUCCUUCUCAAUAGUCCACCUCCAUUGCUGUUCCUGAGGCCCCAGCUCAGACAAAAAAAUAGCAUUCUGCAUUUUCUCAAAAGCGUGAUGCAAAGUCUCUUUCAAAAUAUUAAUAUCAGAACCCAUCUGCUCAAUCUUUUUGUGAUCAAUACCGCCAUUCCUUUCCUCAUCAAUAACUUCAUGCUCGAUAUGCAAGACUUGUUGAUCAACUGAAUGCAUCAACUCAGAAAUUUCACUAUCUCUAUCCUCAUCCCGACUUCCAGGACUGCUCAUACUGAGCUCAGCGACACCAUCACUCUUUGUUCUUUCAAGCUCCAGGUUAGCAUUUUGCAAAGCAACCAAUUCUUUUUCCUUCGCAUCCAAUGCUUGCCUAAGCUUCAACUCAUUUUCGAACCUCUCCGUCAAUUCCUUAUCCUUUUCGCGGAGAACCAUUUCUGAAUCCUGAAGGCGACCCUGGAAACGGUCUUUAAUUUCUUCCAAGUCUGCCAGGACUUUUUCAUGCCAGAUUUCAAACAUGUUGUUGUCUGCAUCCUCCUGGACAAAUUUCAUGCACCCUUCUAGCUGAAUUACUGCAAGUUCAUAGAAUUUCGAUAUCUCAUUCAAGCGCUGAAUGACGCCAUCUUUGGACUUCACUUUGCCGUGUGCUCCGUCCAUUGCGUAGUGCACAAUCCACAUCAUUGUUGCAUCUGUUAAAAAAAUUCUUAGUGUGCUUUUUAGCAAUCCAAAAAGACCAUCCAUUUUUUUUUUCAUUUUGUUUGGUUCAUCUAUAGAAAAUGAAGCAAUAGAAAUGUGAAUGAGAUCUUCAGUUUUUAUGUUUCCUUGAAAAUUGGAGAUCUAAUUGACUUAUUCUAACUUGUUAUUUGUUACACAUAUGUUGAAAAUGUGACUAGAAUUAUUCCUAUAUUUCAUUUAAAUACUAAUGUAUAUUACCAUAUAUUCAAAGUUAAUAAGGAAUUGAUAAUUUUAGGGAACUCACGUUAGUUUUUUAUCUUUUUUUAAUAGAAUUUUUAUCAUUAAAUCAAUAGAAUUUGUUGUAAAUUUAAAGGUUAUGAGACCUUUAUUACUUGAAAUGAUUGGUUUGUCUUUCGUUUCCUUCGAGAGCUCGAAAAGUUCUAAACGUUCAACGCUCAAGUCAAUAUAGACGGUUAGGAUGUCCUCCUCAAUUAAUUUGAGAGAAAAAUUGCUGAUAAUAUGUAUGGUUUGAUGAAGGAGCAAAGGAACAUUAAAAAGGUGUAAUUAACAAUGCCACCAAAGGUGCCCAACAUUAAUUUAUUAGUUGUUUCAAAUGAAGCAUCCACUUGGCAUACUAUAAUUGGUUAUUUCCUACAGCAGCCGCUACAGAUCUCAUUAAGCGCCAGAAUCUAACUCAGCGGCAGGGCGCGAACCAUCACUGCCCUUGGCAGCGCGUGAGGCUCUUGCUCUCUCAGCCACUCCACCACCUCUCCAGAAACCAACUCAACGUUCUGCUCAGGCUCGCCAAUCAGCUGAUGCCACGUGCCUGGAUAAAUCCUCAGCGUCUUAUCCUUACUGGCUGCAUGUUUAUACAACUCUUCAACGCAGGCGGGAUCGCAAACGACGUCGUCUUCCUCUUGGGGCUCAUUGAGUAUUUUUUAUACUCAAAUCCCUUGCAAAUCCCUCGACACGCGCAGCAACUCCAGUACGGUCGCCGCACGCGGCCUUGGCACCGACCUCCUGGGGCUCGACAACGCCAGCUUCCUCUUCCACUCCUCCUUGAAGGAGACCAUCGGGAGAGAACCGUGGGUGGGAUCCACGCGCCAGGAAGGCACCAGCCAUACGACUGUGAAGAGAAGGUGCUCGAAGGGCCACGGAGGCUUGAAUUUCUGGCUAAUCCCGCACAUGGCCCCAUCCAAAAACAAUCCAUCCCACGCGCCCUUCUGACGGAGCGUGAUUAAAGAGCUAUGGCCCCACCCAAGGGCUCGGAAUACAAAAACGCGGGCAAAUACGGUGCGUGUCUCAGAAUGACAUAUCACAUGUUAUAUUAAUUAUUUGAGUUGAAAUUUUAAAUAAAUAAAUUUAGUAUGCUUGCUUUUGCAUAAAACCUUCUUUUUUUUAAGGGUUAUUUUGGAUUUAAUAAUUUAAUUUACAAAUAUAUUUUUGUUUUAUCAAUAAUAACAUUUAAUUUGCAACUGCUGGGGAUCUCUACUCCCUAAUAUUGGCUCGAGGAGACCUUGGCAACAACCAUUGCAACGAAUAUAUGACAAGUUUUAUCGCAAACAAUUACUUGCUAAUUGUUUUCUUCCCACUUGAUGUACAAUACAUAUCAUAUUAUAUUAAUUUUAAAGCUAUAUACUGAUAAUUCUAACAUAAUCAAAUGCAUAUAGGAGCAAUUAAUUGACAAUCAUCACACCAAUUAGAAAAGUUAAACUUGUGUAAGGAAUUUGCUGAGUAUCAGUAACAUAGUAGAAAUAUGGCAAAGUUAUGGUGAGACAUCUGUGACAAAAAAUAAGUCAAUAUUCAAUUAUUAAAUAUAAAUUAUCAUUAUAUUUUAUUUUUUUGAGGAAAUCAUUAUAUUUGGUAUUGAGGUGUUGUGAUAAAAAAAAUGAUAAAGUAUGGUAAUAUGUAAUAAUUUUAAAAGUUAUUAUGACUUUUUAUUGUAUAAAUAAAAUAAACUUAAUUUUUAGAUUAUAGCAGCACGUAUUUAUUAAGCACAUUAGUGUUGGAAUUUAAAAGCUAUACUUUCCAAAAAUAAUUAAGCAGAGCGAAUACCUAAAACAAGUCUAACAUAAUUUUUUUUAUUUCUAGAAAAUAAAAAAUGCAUGUGAUAUUUAAUUUGUGAGGAUUUGAAUUUACAGAAGCAGAGGAAACAAAAGAAUUUUAAAAAAGCGAAUUGCUUUAUGAAAUAAUUUUUCUGCAUCCUUUAUUCAAACAGCUUGAGGCUUUUUAUAAGAGCCAAUUGGAAACACGCAAUCUACGCUAGUAACUGCCCGUGGAACAACAAAAGACACCCUAGACAAUAACACAUGAAAUACGAGAAAUAAUAGGAAAUAUGGGUAAUAAUAUUGCACACAUAGUUGAUAGACCACGUGUCAAGCACCCAUUUAUUUCAAAGCACUUAUUAUUAAGUCCUAGACUCCUCCUCUCAAGCAUGGCUAUCAGGUACGUGGGAAGUUUGUCAAAUGCAUGGGUUCUUGCUCGUCUUUGGGAGACAUAUCAGCAUGCUUGGAAAGAGAUACACGCAAGACAAUCAACACAAGAUUUGCUUUAUUUCUAGGAUGCAUCGGCAUGCACUCUACUUAUAGAACUCCAUAACCCAGAGAUUACCAAUAGCAAGUUCACAACUGAUCCCACCAAACCCAGCGCUAGUAGCCAGGGUCAUGAAUUCAUGCCUUGUUCUCUCCUUUCCACCGGGACUUUGAAUCAUCAUAAGCACGUCAAAAUGGGAAUUUGAUUUUGAUUCAAUGCUUGUAUUAGGAACUUCUGGAAGCAUUGACUCCACAACGAUUACCUUUCCAUCUUCUGGGAUGCUUUUGUAGCAAUUCUUCAACAACUUCAAGCAAUGUUCAUCAUUCCAAUCGUGCAGUAUCCACUAUAUAAAUUCUCAUAUUAAUCAAACUAUUGUUUGUAAAAAUUUAAUUUAAGGAACUCCUCAUAAUAUGUCCGCAAAUUAAAUUAAAAACUUACCUUCAUAAUAAUGGCAUCACCUUUUGGAACACUUUGGAACAUAUCACCCCCUACAUGCUCAAUACCUGUAAAAUAUUAUACAAUUAAGAAAUCAGACAAUUAGAAUUAUGCCACUCUAUUUUCAUUAGCAAGAUGUAUUACGUCAAGAACUGUUUGCUCAAACUUAAUUAUGCCAAUGUUAUGGAAGUUCCUGAUAUACAGGCACACACAACAGAAGAAUUAUACACACACAUAUAUGAGAGCAGGUUCAAGGGAUUUUUUUUAAUACAAUUUUACAUAUAAAUUUUUAACAAUUAGGUUAAAGUUUAUCACAUGGUUAAUAUUAAAACUGCAUGCAGUUUUAUAAUUCUAAAAAUUAAUCAACUAGACGCAAGUCCUUACGUCAAACAAUAAACGUGAAGCACGACGCUCUUUCCUCUCUCUUAUCAUCUAAAUUUAUUUAAACUAAGUAAUUUCAUUCAAAGAUUGAAAUUACACUUCAUUUCGGAGGAAGAUCUUCCAAUCAAAUUACAGGCAACUUAAAAUUAAAAGCUGCCUUAGCUAACACGAGUAUGCGUGUUGCAGGCUCUUCGGAUGAACUGAAUUCUAAAUUAGCAUUGUCCUUAAUUUCCUCUUGAAUGUCCAACAACACUUAAAAGAUUUCCUUUGCUUGACAUCAUGUUUAGGACAUUCAUAUAUUUCUCUUUUUAACUUAUGUGCUCAUCUCCUUCAAUCCUCCCUCUACUCAUUAUAAAACAUUUUUUUUUCCGAUGGCUGUUGGAUGGAUGUUACUACUACAAAUUAAAAUAUAGUACUUCCCUAGUUCUCUGUAUGUUUACUUUAGUUAUCCAGUAAAUCGAAACGUGAUUAGAUGACUAUGCUUUGUUAAUCUUUAAAAAAAUAUAUGUAGAAACGAUUGCCAACAUUUUUUUUUCCAAUAUUUACAUUUGGUUUAAUAAACAAAUUUAUGUAGAUAACAUCUUUUUUUAUGGCUACAUGGAUGUGUACCUUAGUUCACUGGUAAUUUAGAGGGAGAAAUAAAGGGUAAUACAAAGGUGAGAGAAAAGUAUUUUACUUUUACUAUUAAAUUUAAUAAUAUGACACCUACGCGAAUUAAUUAGUUUUUUAAAAUAACAAAAUUACACGUGAGCUUUAAUAUUAAUCCUUGGAUGAACUCUAUUAGAAAGAAAUUUGUUUCUAAAAGUAUCUUUUUUAAACUUGCCCCCAAAAUAAGGAAUAUUCUAAAAAAAUAAAAAAGAAAACAAACAUUUUGAGUAUUAUCCUUAGUUUAUCCUUUAUUUUAAUAAAGGAAGGAACCCUUAUAUAUAUAUAUAUAGUAAUGAUCUAAUCCAAAAUUUUGGGUUUUGUUAAAAACCGAAAAAAAUCAUAAUUUCAAAUGGUUCAAUAGUCCAUUAUACUAUUAAAUCAUAUGACUUACUAGAUUUUUCGGAAUUUAACAAAAUUUGUGUAGCGAGAGAGAGAGACAUUCGAAAUCCUGUUAGCUUCAAAUUUCCUUUUAUUUGUUUGUUUCCCCUUGAUACAAUUAACAAAUAUGUCAAAACCUGUGAAAUCUAAGGGCCUGAGAAUUUCAUUUGACAUAAGUCUCUUUAUUCUCUAUAUGGAGAUAUGACUAAAUCUCUUGUACUAUAAUGCAACUGAAUUCUCAUUUGUUAAUUUUCUCUUUACACCUUGUGUACUUAAUUGCAAAUAUUCAUUAAAUGAAGCAAUUGUAUCAAGCAUAUAAAGAUUAUCAUCACCUGACAAAGAACCAGAACUAACCAAUUUUGAAUUAUGAAACAAACUAAAUUUUCCAUUCCCAAAUGAACAAAAAAAACCAAAUUUGUCCAAACCAGAAAUAGAAAUCAAAUUCCGUCUAAAAGAUGGAACAAAAAAUGUUUCAUCAAGAUUCAAAUAAAAUCCAAUUUUAACAAUAAUCUAAAUUCCAAUGCUNNNNNNNNNNNNNNNNNNNNNNNNNNNNNNNNNNNNNNNNNNNNNNNNNNNNNNNNNNNNNNNNNNNNNNNNNNNNNNNNNNNNNNNNNNNNNNNNNNNNNNNNNNNNNNNNNNNNNNNNNNNNNNNNNNNNNNNNNNNNNNNNNNNNNNNNNNNNNNNNNNNNNNNNNNNNNNNNNNNNNNNNNNNNNNNNNNNNNNNNNNNNNNNNNNNNNNNNNNNNNNNNNNNNNNNNNNNNNNNNNNNNNNNNNNNNNNNNNNNNNNNNNNNNNNNNNNNNNNNNNNNNNNNNNNNNNNNNNNNNNNNNNNNNNNNNNNNNNNNNNNNNNNNNNNNNNNNNNNNNNNNNNNNNNNNNNNNNNNNNNNNNNNNNNNNNNNNNNNNNNNNNNNNNNNNNNNNNNNNNNNNNNNNNNNNNNNNNNNNNNNNNNNNNNNNNNNNNNNNNNNNNNNNNNNNNNNNNNNNNNNNNNNNNNNNNNNNNNNNNNNNNNNNNNNNNNNNNNNNNNNNNNNNNNNNNNNNNNNNNNNNNNNNNNNNNNNNNNNNNNNNNNNNNNNNNNNNNNNNNNNNNNNNNNNNNNNNNNNNNNNNNNNNNNNNNNNNNNNNNNNNNNNNNNNNNNNNNNNNNNNNNNNNNNNNNNNNNNNNNNNNNNNNNNNNNNNNNNNNNNNNNNNNNNNNNNNNNNNNNNNNNNNNNNNNNNNNNNNNNNNNNNNNNNNNNNNNNNNNNNNNNNNNNNNNNNNNNNNNNNNNNNNNNNNNNNNNNNNNNNNNNNNNNNNNAACUGUCUUGCAAUCGCCAACAUAGAUAUAUCUUUCACCAUCACUGGGUUUUCGGCAACUCAGGCAACCCUGCAUAGAUAUAGUGAUGUGAGUGGUUGCACUAGAAUUUAUUCACCACGUGUGUCUAGAUACCAAAGUUAAAUUAACCUCAGAACAAACCAAACUAAAAAGCAUACCUUUCUUAGCACUCCAUGUGUGAUAAUUAGUGUAAUGCUUCUUCUUAUGCCCUUUAGCCCCAUAGAAGAAACAACCAGUACCUUCAUGAUCAUUUGGUUUCUUUUGUUAUUUCUUUUGAGGUGUUGUAUUUGCACAUUCCUUAUUUUUCUUCAUUUUCUUGCCCUUAGAGAUAGAGUCUAGGUGAGCACUUUUUGCCUUAUCUUUUUUCAACAUAUCCUUUUCCUAAACACAAUGUGAUAUGAGCUCAUUCAGAGACCAAGUCUCUUUCUGACAAUUAUAGCUCACCUUAAAUUAGUUAAACUGUGUUGGUAAGGAUAUUAAAAAAAAUGCACUAGUAAGUCCUCAGAGAGCUUAAGUUUAAGUGCUCUUAACUUAGAAUCAAGAUGAGACAUCUCCAUAAUGCACUCGUUGAUAUUGCCUUUACUCGUAUACCUCAUUGAAAUUAGGCUUGUCAAGAGCGUACCAAUUUCAGCCUUUUUGUUCUUGACAAACAUUUGUUCAAUUUAUGCAAGAAACUCUUUAGCAGUAGUUACUUUUUCAAUCAUUAAGCCCCUGAAUGCUUCUAGAAUGGUCUUCUACUUAUCAUGACACACAUGCGAUUUGAUCUCUCUCACCUUUCCAUUUAAUUUCCCUUUUAUCACCAGGGGUACUCUCACCCGUAAGAGGUGCGAAGAAUCAACCCUUAACGCAAGGUCAAGAUCCAUGACUACAAGAACUAUUGAGAGGUUCUUGUGCCAUGAUUUGAAGUUAGAGCCAUUUAACAUAGGAAUAUAAUUCAUGUUGGCGGUAAUAUUAGUAGCAAACAUAAUUGAACAAAAAAUAACAAACAAACAAAACAAGCUCAUAUUAGUCUUAAAACAAAAAUAAAUUCAAAUAAAGAUAAUCCCCAUCUUAAGAUACUGGACACUCCAUUAAUAUUCAACUUGUAAUUGAUAUCUUGGUGUAGUAAUCAAACAUUGAUAAUAAGAACAUGUCAAACAAUUAAUAUUCCUUUGGCCGAUUUAUUGCUCACAUGCAAAACCGAAUAAUCAUCACAUGUUUAUUACCAUAGGUGCACAUGUAAUUCUAUUAAAUAUGGACAUUCCUUAGAGCCGAUCGAUAUUUACAGAAAUUACAUAUACAAAAGCGUUUAUAUUCUAAAAUAAAUUAAUUCUUAUAAGAGACCUCACUUUGGCGACAUGCUGCUUCAAUUAAUUUAUCUCAAAAUAUAUAUAAACCUACCAAUAUUUAAAUUUAAAAUUGCACAAAAAUUACCUCAAAAAUUAAAAAAAUUCAGGUCAAAGUCAAAGUUUGACCAGUCAACUAUCAAAUGUUGAUCGGUUUAUACUGCUGAUCACUUUGAAUUGGACUCGUUCAGGUUAGACCGAAUCGGACCAAACCAGUCCUAAAUCAGAAACCCUAAUUCAUUUUCCCUUCUUCUUCUUUGGUCGCCUUCCCACCUUAACCUACAGGCUGCGACUUAGUCGUCGCGACCUCUCCUUCCCGUCGCUAAGGGUGUUCGUGGAUCAGAUUUUGUGGAUUAGACAUCAAUCUAUAUCUGAUUCACGAUUUUACGGAUUAUAAAUUUUUAAUCCAAUCCAAUCCACGGAUUAGUGAAAUUCAAUCCAAAUCAAUCCAUACGUCUGCGGAUCGGAUGCAAAUUUGACCCAAUCCAUAUCCAAUCCAUCAUUUUACGGAUUGGUUUACGGGCUAAAAAAUUUUACUCAUGUCCUAUCCACGAACUAACUAAAUAAAAAAAUUAAUAUAAAAAUAAUUUUACUAUCGAUAAAAUUCAAAAUUAAAUAAAAUUUAAAUUAAUUAAUUUUUUAAAUAAAGGUAAAAAAUACAUUCAAAGUUUCAAACUAUAACACACCAAAAAAAAAAUCUCAUUUGUUUAGAUCAGUACAUGAAAAUUAAUUGCUAAGGAAGAUAUAUUUUUUAUUUAAUUAUUUUUAUUUUAUAUUAUUAUCAGAUAAGACAUAAUAUGGUGUUAAUAUAACUAUAUUUUAACUUAUUUAUUUAGUAGUAAGAAUAAUGUUAUAUUUACAAGUUUAUUUUUUUGCGGAUUUGUGGAUUUUUGCGGAUCCACAGUAGUAAAUCUAUAUCCAAUCCACUGACUGCGGAUUUUCAAAUUUUCAAUCCAAUUCAAUCCACCAAUCCACGGAUCAAAAUUUUACGGAUUAGAUUUCUGCGGAUCAGACGGAUUGAGCGGAUCGAAUUGGAUUUUGAACUCCCCUACCCGUCGCAGCCUGAAGCCGUGACACAGCCGCCAGCUAAAACCUUGAAACAUUUUUUUUCCUUCAAUUCCCUUUCCCUUUAUACCACGACUAGGGGUGGGCAAACGGUUCGAUUUUAUGAGCAAAAUCAGAAUGGUUUUAAAAUCAAGGAACCGAUUGGUUAAACCGAACAGAACCAAAAAACCAAUCGGUUCCUUGAUUUAAUUAUAAAUAAUUUUUUAAUUGAAAAAUAAAUGAAAAUAUAUAAACUAAAAAUGAAAAAACAAAUCACUCAAAAAUCAAAAUCUCAAAUCCCUAGCUGCGUUUCCCCAAUUUGCAACCCACAACCUCUCUCUCCUCUCCCACUCAUCUCCCACUCAUCUUCCACGCCUCCCUCCGUCGCCUCUUUGCCGCGUGUUUCUCCAUUACCAGACAGCACAGAACUUCAGCUCAGCCCCUCUCGGCUUCUUCCUCGUAACCGUCUCUCCCUCGCGUUAGCUCAGCCCCUCUCUUCCUUGUCUGCACAGCACCUAGCACAGCCCUUAUCUUCCUCGCGUGCACGGCUUCCUAGCACAACCCCUUAGCAGCGACACAACUCCUCCCCUCAAGCACGAUGACAGCCCCUCACACGCGGUGUUACAGCCUAACACAAUCCCUCACACGUCGUGUUGCAGCCUAGCACAACCCCUCUCUUUGGUGCUGCAGCCUACAAGUGUUAUUUUAUUUUAAUUUAUGCCAUGGCUUGCACAUAGUGUGUAUAGUGUAUACUGUUUAGUUUCUGCUAGUGUUACUUGUGUUAGGGAUUGACUAUUUGUGGACUGUUGAUGUAUACUUGUUGGUGGAGUUAAAAAUGGUGGGUAGAUAUAGUGGUUGUGGAGGCUUGUGAGUUGUGGCAGUGAACUGAAAUGGUUGUAACUUGUAAUGUUGUAUUGUAUAUUGCAGUCGAAAAUUGAACAAUUGAAAAUAGAUAAAUGUAUAAUGCUUCAAUCAAUGAAAAAUUAGAAAUAAUAUUUGUUAUUUAACUUAUUUGGCAUAAUGAUUAAUGACUUAAUUAGCUUCGCGAGGUUGCAAUUUGAUAUUGGCAAUUUGGCAUGGAGAAUUCAAAUUAAAUUAAUAAGUAGUGGAAGUAUAUUAUGAUAUGUUGACCUAAUUUGUUAAAUUAAAUUAUGAUUUAUUAGCUAGUAGUUAAUUGAACUUUAAUUGAUCUUUUUGGCAUGGAUGUUUUAAAUUAAAUCAACAAUUAUUCGAAGUAAAUUAUGAUAUGUUGGCUUAAUUUUUUAAAUUAAAUUAAAUUAAAUUAUGAUAUGUUCGCUAGUAGUUAAAUUAAAUUAAUAAAUUUAAUUGAACUUUUUGGCAUGGACAUUUUAAAUUAAAUUAACAAUUAUUGGAAGUAAAUUAUGAUAUGUUGACUUAAUUUGUUAAAUUAAAUUAUGAUUGGCUAGUAGUUAAUUUAAAUUGAAUUGAUCUUUUUGGCAUGGAUGUUUUAAAUUAAAUCAACAAUUAUUGGAAGUAAAUUAUGAUAUGUUGGCUUAAUUUGUUAAAUUAAAUUAUGAUUUGUUAGCUAGUAGUUAAUUUAAAUUGAAUUGAUCUUUUUGGCAUGGAUGUUUUAAAUUAAAUUAACAAUUAUUGGAAGUAAAUUUUGAUAUGUUGCCAUGUUGGCUCAAUUUAUUAAAUUAAAUUAAAUUAUGAUAUGCUGGCUAGUAGUUAAAUUAAAUUUAAUUGAUCUUUUUGGCAUGAACAUUUUAAAUUAAAUUAACAAUUAUUGGAAGUAAAUUAUGAUAUCUUGCACUAGCUUAUUAAAUUAAAUUAUGAUAUGUUGGCUAGUAGUUAAAUUAAAUUUAAUUGAUCUUUUUUCAUUUCAAUAACUUGUUAAUAAAACAAUAUUACUUAUUUAUUUUUAUUUUAUUUAUUGUGUAUAUCUAAUUAUUCAAGAGUUCAAGACAACCUCGAUUGUGUACCCGAUGAUCUUGAGUGUGAAGUUGAAGUUGAUGAUAGUGAAAAUGAUUCGCCAACAAUUGUCACUAGCAGAAACAAGAGGAAAAAGUCUUUGUCAUCCAAACCGCCACUACCAAGGAAAAAAAUGGCUCCAAGAUCAACAGUGUGGCAACAUUUCACUAGACUUCUAGAUAAUGAUAAGAAGUGCAAAUGCAACUACUGUGGUAAUGAAUUUGAAUAUGGCUCGGUAGGGUACGAGACUAGCACUUUGAGGACUCAUUACCAAGAAAGGUGUCAAAAGUACCAAGAACCUUCAGAAAGACCAAACAACUUUAACUCAAAAUGUCGGUAGUGAUGAAAUUGUAGCAAGAGAUUUUAGUUAGGAUGCUUAUAGAUGAGCAACUAUGAAGAUGAUGUUCUUGAUGAAUUGCCUUUUUGUGUUGUGGAGAAUCCGGGUUUUAAGCAUUUUUGCAGUGUGGCGGCUCCUAGAUAUCUUCUUCCAUCACGAAGAACCAUUACUAGGGAUACUCUUGAUAUGUAUGUUGAGGAAAAGGCUAAGUUGAAGAAUUUAUUGGUUGGGAAUAAGCAGAGAGUGUCUUUGACCACUGAUAUUUGGACUUCCAUUAUGACAGUUAGCUACAUGGUCAUCACAGCUCACUUUAUUGACAAAGAUUUGAAUUUACAUAGAAAGAUUAUCAGCUUCAACAUGGUUAAUGAUCAUUCAUCGGAGACAAUUGGUAAGCGAAUUGAAAAAUGUUUGAUUGACUGGGGCAUAGAGCGAGUAUGUGCUGUAACGGUUGACAAUGCAAGUCCAAAUAAGGGUGCUCUUAGGUACUUAAUUGAUCGACUAAAGACUUGGAGGGAUGAUGCCUUAGUGUUGAAUGGGGAUUAUUUGCAUGUUCGUUGUUGUGCGCAUAUAUGGAAUUUGACUGUGACUGAAAGGUUGAAGGAACUUGAGCCGAGUAUAGUUAGUGUUUGGAAUGUUGUGAAAUAUGUGAGGUCUUCCACUACCAGGAUGCAAGCAUUUCAAAUUCGUGUGCAACAAGAGAAGAUUAAUUCCCGAGGAAGUGUGAUUUUGGAUUGCCCUACUCGGUUCUACAUAUUCCAUGUUGAGUACAUCAUUGAAAUUUAAGCCGGCAUUUGAUUGGAUGGCACUUGAAGAUAACCUUUAUGAUGCUUAUUUCAAUGAAAAAGAGGGGGGGAGGGUAAGAAGAAAAGUGAGGGGCCACCGCUGUAUAGUGAUUGGGAGAGUGCUCGUCGCAUAGUUAAAUUUUUGAAGACUUUUUAUGACGCGACUUUGCAAUUUUCUUCUUCUUUGAAGGUAAUAUCACAUCUUUAUUAUGCUUUUGAAUUUUGAUAUAUGAUAUGGAAUUUAUUUUAGCUUUAUUAUACUUUUGAAUUUUGAUAUAUGAUAUGGAAUUUAUUUUAGCUUUAUUAUGCUUUUGAAUUUUGAUAUAUGAUAUGGAAUUUAUUUUAGGUGACAUCGCACACUUGUUAGAAUUUGACAUGUCAAAUUGAACAAUCUUCGGAAUUGUUGUCUACUAAUAAUGAUAGCCUUUUGGGUUUGAUGGUUAUUAAAAUGAAGGAGAAAUUUGAUAAGUAUUGGGAGGGCUGUUUCAAGAUAAAUAAAACGUUGAUUGUUGCUUCUGUGCUUGAUCCACGGGGAAAGAUGAAAUUUGCAACACAUUGCUUUGAGAAAUUAUAUGGCAAGGAUAGUGCCAAAUGUGUUGAGAUGAAGGAAAUGGUAAAAGAUUUGUUGACUAAGCUUUAUAAGUCUUACAAUGCACAAUAUAAACCGUGUGGUAGUGGGAGUACAAGUGGAAGUGCAAGUGGAAGUACAAGUGGAAGCCAAACUUUAGCUAUUGGAAGUGGAAGUGGUUCGAAUUUUUGGGAUUUAGGUGGUGAUGAUGAUGUUAUGAUUGAGGACCCUUUCUCCAAAUUUAGUAAGGUGGUUGCGGUUAGUGAAGGUAGCCCGGAAUUGUGUGCUUGUGUUAUGGUGGAUGUAGCUAUGGCUUGUGUGCUUGUGUUAUGGAGUUUUAUCAAUUAUUGAUGCACUAUUAUGGACUUGUUAUUUUUUUUUGGGAUAUUAUCAUUCGUAUACCUUAUAGAUACUCUAUUAUCAAAAAUACUAUAAUACUUUGAGGGUGUAUCAAUCGUCCAUCCUAAAUUAACAAAAGUUAUCUGCCGACCACUAAACCGUUAGCUGCCAUUUAAAAGUUAACGGAAUAAUAGUGAAUUGAUGAUUUUACCCCUUAAAAUUAUCACUUGUAUACCCUUAAAUUCUUUUAUUAUCACUUGUAUACCUUUAAAUUAUCACUUGUAUCAUAUGAAAAGACCAAAUUACCCCUCUGGCGUUAUCCUAUUUAAACGGCAAGUAACGGUUUGGUGGACGGCAUAUACAUUUUGUCAACUUAGGGUGGACGAUUGAUACACCCUCAAAGUGUUGUAGUAUUUUUGAUAAUAGAGCAUUUAUAGGGUAUAUGAAUGAUAAUUUCCCUUUUUUUUGUUGCCAUGGACUUAUAAUUUGUAGUAGACUUUUAAGUUUAAGCGUGUUUAUGAAUUGCGAAUAUUUGUAUUGGGAAUUUUUAUUAUAUGGCUUGUGUACUUGUGUUAUGGAGUUUUAUCAAAUAUUGAUGCACUAUUAUGGACUUUUUUUUUUUAGGUUGCCAUGGACUUAUAAUUUGUAGAAUUGUCAAUUGUAGUAGACUUUUAAGUUUAAGUGUGUUUAUGAAUUGUGAAUAUUUUGUAUUGAGACAUUUAUUAUUUCGCUUUUGAUUUAAUAGUUUUAUACUUGUUUAUUCAUAUUAUAUAGUGUUAUUAAUAUUAUAUGUGUAGAGUGUAGUUUGGUACUUGGUAUUGGUAGUUAAUGGGAGUGUAAAUUGCAAAAUUAAGUAAAAUUAGGUGGAAAGUAUAAAAUCUGAUAAUAUUAGGGUAAAUCUAUAAAAUUAAGAAAAUGAAAAAUCUGAACCGAACCGAAUUUAGGAACCGAACUGAACCAAACCAAAUAUUUCAGUUCAGUUCAGUUCGAGUUCGGUUCACACUCUUAAGGCUCGAUUGAUUUUGGUUCGGUUCGGUUCGGAGCCCGAUGUUGGAUUAUUCACAUAUAAGUCCAAUAUUGGAUUAACGAUCCAACAAUAUUGGAUUAAAAAUCCAACAUUAUCCACCCAAAUGCCAGAGCAAUCUCAUGCAUAAUUUUCCUUGAAAGGUCAAACAUCAACAAGAGAUCAAAAGGUGCAGUAAGAUUUUUUGCCAGAUCAUGAACUGUAGAAAAGUCCUAAAAACGAGACAAUCAAUGUUUUGAAAAAAAAAUUAAAUGGGAAUAGUGUCCCCGUUAUAAUCCCCAUUCAAUUUGUGGAUUUUUGAGGACAUGCCCAACCUAUGCUCAAUAAAACUUUUUGAGGUAUGAGGUGGGUUUGGGGAUUGCUUCCAAACUGCAUUCAAGUUCGUGCGUCAUGAUCCCCGUCUCGAACCCGGCCCAUUCCUAUCACUACUUAAUAGGAUCAUUAAACACAAAACUAAGGACUGAAAAGUUGAAAUAAAUGAACCAAUAAAUGAGAAAGACUAACUAAAAUUAGAGACAUAUGAAAUAAACUUGGAAGAAACGUCUAUUAAAUUGAUAUUUAACCAAAAGAAUUGCAAUAUGAUUAACAAAUUUUAAAAUGUUUUCUCAUUCAAUUAUUUUUUAUGUUUAUUAUUUAAAAAUUUCCUUCUUUUUUUCAUUUAUUGAAUUUUUUAGCAUUAAAAAUAAAAUAUAAAAAUUAUUUAAUGAAAUACCGCCAUACGAGUUGUUAAAAUAUUUAUCAGAGGUUGUAUGAAAUUGUAGGAUGACCCUAAGAAAAGAGAAAAACAUUUAUUUGUGGGACCCGACCGAUCACGGAACAUGGGUUCGAAACAUGGAUCCAACUACCUUGCAAUAGUUGCAAGGUACCACAACUUUUGUCUUUUUAUGCAAUAAAUUUCAUUUGACCUCUUACUUUUCUUUUUUUAAUUUAUUUUUAAUUAUAAUUUUAUUUUUCUCUCUCAUUCUUUCCCUCCACUCCAUAGGUGGCCCAAUCUUUUUUCCUUUUAUUAUUAUUAUUAUUAUUUGCUUAAUGAUUAUUUUAAUUAAAAAAAUCUAAUGAAUAAAAAAAUAUAAACCAUAAGCUAUUAACAAUUAGCCUAAAGGAGUAUAAAAGCAAGCAUUGAGUUUGGGCUUUGGCUAAAUUUUGGAAAAAUUUUUUUAACACUUUCAUUAAAUUAGAAAAUUAAAACAAUUUGAUAUAAUUAGGAUUCCAUCGGGAUCCCGAUUGAAGUCCUGACUAGUCCUGAGUUUUAAUGAGAAUAAAUUUAAUCUCAAAUUCUUAUUUAUUUUAAUUAUUUUUUAAGUCAUAUACCGUUUCAUGUACCAUUUGGAACAGGAUUUGGGAUUCCGAUUGGGAUUCGAUUUUUUCUACCAACUUUAAUUGGCAAAAGAGUUUUAAUUAGCUAAUUGAGAAUGUUAUGUUAAUUAACAAAGUUAUAAUAAUCUACGAUUGUUAUAAGAAUCUACAAUGUAUAACUUAGGAAUAGUAAAGCUCCUAUUAUUUAGCUUAUUUGGGUGUAUAGGCUUAUUGAAUUAAUUCAUACCAAUAUAAUUUGAUUAGAAUCGAAGUAUCUUAAUUAUGAAUUUUAUUCUUCUACUCUUUUGCAAAUGUUAAUAUUGAAAUAUAACUGUGCAACCCAAGAGGGGGGUGAAUUGGAAUUUUAAAAAUCAUCCUAGCAAAUCCACACAACAAGCAAUCUAAUGUCUUAAUAAAAAUUGAAAGCAAUAAGUUCAAUCAAAGUACAAUAAUUAAAGAGCAAGGGAAGAGAAAGCAAACUCAAGGAUUUUUACGUGGUUCGGUAAUCCCCGCCUACGUCCACGCCUCCAAGCACACCGGGCUUGAGGAUUUCACUAUCCAAGCCUUUCCAAGGCUUCAAACGAUUACAAAUGACUUCAAGGUGUCAAUGAACCUUUACAACAAGAGAUUAUAUCUCCAAUUUCUUCACCCCAAGUGUUUCUCACACUUGUACUCUAACAAUUUGAUGUAAAAUGAAAAAUACAACAAUCAAUCUCUCUUUAAGAGUGGAUAUACAAAUUGAAGAACAAAGAUGAUUUAAUGAAUGAUGAUUCACGAAGUUGAAACUCAAUAUAUGUUGUGUACACUUGUUCUUGCUUGCUUGGAUCACCAAAAAUGAAUUGGUUUUGAGUUUAUAUAGUUUGAGCUCAAAAACUAGCCGUUAUGCACAUUUUGGUCGUAACCGGAUUACCGGUUAUGGACAUCAAGAAUUCCGCUUAAUGUUACCAUUACAGCCACAAUUUUGAAUUUCUGAACAUUCGGAUUGCCGCUUUGUCACAUCCGGAUUUUCGCUUAUACUCAGUAGCUUACUGCCCAACAACCGGAUUUUCGUUUGUCAGGAUCCGGAUUUCCGCUUUCAAUUUGGAUACAUUCUGCCCAAAAUUCGGACUUCCGUUUGUCAGAAUCUGGAUUGCCGCUUGCUAUAGUGACAACUACAGUGAACUAUUUUCUAAAAUUAUAGUUUGACCCCAAAACUUUAUAAAACUAUACUACGGCCCAAAACGUUAUAAAACUUUACAAAUAAAUCCAAUUUCAUAAUUUUUAAAUAAUACUUUGUCAAUCUCAAAACUUUUUGAAAUUAUGAUUUCACCCAAACUAUGUGAAAUUAUAAAAUGACCUAAAAUAUUUAAAUAGUUUCAAAUAGGUCCAAAUCCGAAAUUUAAAACACUAUUAAAGAUUUUUAAAAUACUUUCAUUUUAGUCCAAAAUACUUUAAUUCCAUAACAUCAUUUUCUUAUUAUAAAAGAACAAUUCAUAAAUCUUUGUUUAAUCAAUACAUGUGGUUUGUUAUCAUCAAUAUCAAUAUUUAUAGCCAUAUAGGCUAACAAUCUCCCCCUUUUUUAUGAUGACAAAACACAUUAUAAAAAAGUUUAAUCUAGUUAUGAAAAGCUCCCCCUAAAUCAAUGCAAGGUAAAAAAAAUGAUUUGAAAAAAAAAAAAAACUCCCCCUACAUACAUGCAUACUCCCCCUGGAUACAUGUAUAUUUUCAUAACACUUUUUAUAACACAUAUUCAAUUAUUCUCCCCCUCAUCAUCAAAAAGAAAAACUUAAUUGGCAAAGAAAAAAUAGCAAAUUUUUAUAAAUUUAAAAACAUGUAUUCUUCUCCCCCUUCAUCAUCAAAAAGAAAAUGUAAAGGAAAAGAAUAAAAGUAGCAAAUUGGUUACCCACGUUGUUUGAGUAGAAAUUUUGAAAGAAUCUCCCCCUAACAACAAGCAUCACCUCAAAUACAAAUUUAGUAAUAUUACUCACAAAUUAUCAUCAUCAUAUAAUCAAAUACCAAUUAUCAAAACAAUUACUCAAAAUGCAUAUUAUUCUCCUCCUUUUGAUAACAUCGAAAUGAUAUAUUAUUUUGUCUCCCCCUUUGGACAACAAAAAAAAAAACAAUUCAAAAUGCAUAUUAUCCAAAAUCAUAUUAUAUGCUCCCCUAAAUAAAUGGCCAAUUUAAAAAUUUAACCGAAAUGAUUUUAUCCAAAAACAUAUUAUAUUUGUCUCCCCCUUAAAAAUGAACAAAUUCUCAAAUACACAACAUGGUUAAAAACACUUCCAUAUAAGCUUAAACAAUAAUAACCAACCAACAACUCCUUCAAUUUAUCAAGCAAAGCAUAUAUAAUCAUCAAUUACCAAGAUCAUCAAGAAAUCAAAUCAUUCCAAGUUUAUGCCGAAUUUUUUGAAAAUUCUUCUUCAUAAAGAGGUUUUGAUUUCUUUACCAAAUUGGCAUGCAUAUUAUCAAAUAUUCAAGCUCCAUAAUUAUCAAUCACAUUUUAUAAAUAAAGACAACUAAACUCAUCAAAUAUCUAAUGUGACAUUUCAAUAUAACAAAAAAAAAUCUCAUAUGCUUAAAAUUCUUGAAGUAUAUGUAUUUCUCUCUUUUUCGAUAUCAUUUAAAACAAGUAAGACAUAUUCAACAAUACAUCGAUAAAGUACAAAAAAAAAUGCAUUCAUUCACUAAUCAUAGAUUGCAUAAGAUCAAAGCUUCAUCAAAUACAAUGUAAUCAUCAAUACACAUUCUUUAUCAUCAAAACUUAAGUAAAAACAUAAGUACAUAAUGGCAAUAUAUAAAUCAUCAAAAUCAACAUAUGCCAAUAUAUAGAUCAUCAAAAUCAACAUAACUAUUAAGAAAAGCCAUCAUUAUGAGCUAAAGAACAAGUGAUCAAAUCCAUUAUUACAAAUGUUUAUAUAUAUUUCUAAAUGAUGAUCUAGUAGUUACAUCUUGUGAUGGAUCUCCUAAAAUUAAGUUCGUAAGGUGAGAAGAAUCAUAUAAUUCAAAAUCAUAGCAAACAUCCAUAUAAUCCAAAAUGCAAAAUAAAAGAAAAAUAAAAUAGUAAAUGAAAUGUUAGUGUGUCUAAAUACAAGCAUAAAGGAUUUGAAGUGAAAAAGGAUGAGAUUGAUGGAGUUUAGAGAGAUAUUGCGUGAGAGAGGAAGCGGUUUUUAGUGAGAGAGUAAGAAAUGGAAUGCCGAAUGAAGAAGGAAGAAGAGCAGUACCCAUUUAACCGCGAAACCGGUUUGCCAGAAGUCACUAACCGGCUGUCCGGUUAGUAUCCAAAAGCUGGAAAAAUCGAAACCGGUUUGCUGGAUGAGUUUAACUGGAAAUUCGGUUGGUUCCAGCAAAUAUUUCACGCAAAUUCAGUUUUCCGGAUAACACGAACCAGCUUGCCGGUUGGAUCCAGAAGAUAGCAAGUGAAAAUCUGCUUGCCGGUUUGCCAAAGUGUAGCUCGAAUCCAGAAUUUCGAAUUGACAGAACAGGAAAUCCGGUUUGUUCCAGAAGGCUUUCCUUGCGAAUCCGGCUUUCCGGUUUUGCUAACCAGUAGUCCGGUUUGAGGUAGAAAGUGGCCUAUUGAAUUUGGUUUUCCAGAUUUUAAGAAUCGGUUAUCCGGUUUUGAGGCAGAGGGAAGGCUUAGCAAAUCCAGUUUUCCGGAUUGAAAAUCUGGUUAUCCGAAUGUUGUCCCGAGAGCAACCAAAGCUAAUCUGGUUUAGACUUGGAAAACCUUUUGUCUCUAAUUGAAUAUUGGCUAGCUCUUAUACUUGUAUUACACUCACCAUUUUAUUUUUGGCUUUUAAAAUUGAUUAAUUUUAAAUCAUUUUGAGAUUUAAAACUUUUCAAUAAGCCAUUUAAUACAUGAGACAUAAAUGCAUACAAGACCAAACAUAUGAAAUCGUAUCAAACAAUGAUGUCAAUUUUAUAAGUGAAUGAUGAUAUAACACAAUUAACGACACAAGAAUUCACACAUAUAAUUCAUUCAUCAUGUAUAUAUUUUACACAAUCAUGAAACAUAUAAGCAUUCAAAGAUUAAUAAUUCAAGCAUAUCAUUCAUUUAUCAAGCUUAGGCAUUACAUAAUCAUCAAAAUCAAACAAAGCUAUCAUGAUGAGUUGACAAGCUAUCAUCUUAUAUAUAUAACCAUGCAUCAUGAUAAAGCAUUCAAUGUUAAACACAAUGAUAAUUCAAUCAUGUAAACAUACAAGCAUACUUUCGCAAAUUCAUUUAUCAUGGUUCAUUCAACAAAAUUAAUAUGGCAAGAAUUGUUACCAAAACAAUUAAAUCAUCUUGCCUCAUCUUUUUCUCCUAGAUCAUACUCAAAUGAUUAUCCUCACAAGCUUCAUCAAGGAACUCUCCACCAUUCCUUGUUUGUGGUACCUACAAAAGAAUAUUCAAGUUGUGCCCUUUGGUACCCAAAUGCUCUUGGGUCCUUGAGUGUUAGCAAUGGUUCCUUUUGGAACCCAAAUACAUUUUACUUCAUAAUAUACUUUUCUUUUAAUAGGACAACCAAGCUUCAUGUGACCGUUUUGAUUACAAUAAUGACAUACAACUUGAUUGUUAAUAGAUGUACUCUUCACAAAGUAGUUCUGAAAAUACUUUUGUUUCAAAUUUGGCUUAUAACCAAAUCCUCUUUUAUCAAACACACAUUUUUUGUGAAUUAAUCAAGUUAUCCAACAUCUUUUGCCCAUUUGUAAAUUUUAUGACAAUCUCAUUUAAUUCAUUGCUCUUCUUCUUAAGCAUUUCAUUUUCCUUUUUCAAGUCAUCUAUGUGAUAUUUUAAAUGCUCAUGUGAAGUGCUAGUUUUCUCAUUUGAUAAUGCAACUCUAUCAUGCAAUGUUUUAUUCUCUAAUUCUAGGCAUGUAAUCUUUGCACAUAGAGAUUCAUUUUCAUUUUUGAGCUCUACCAUUUUCUUUUUAAGACAUGCAUUCUGUUUACCAAUUUUUAUCCAAUUAUCAUGUAAUUCUUUAAAAGCAUCAUAUAAUUCAUCAUAAGUAAAAAGAUCAUUUACCUCAUCAAGUUCAUCAUCCGAUUCAUCUCCAAUUGCCAUGAGAGCUAGAUUUAUCAUUUCUUGAUGCUCUUCAUCAUCACUUGUUUCCUCAUCGCUAUCAUCCCAUGUGGCUACCAUUGCUUUCUUCUUGAGCUUGUUGAGAAGAGGACAUUCCGUUCUUAUAUGGCCAAGUUUCUCGCACUCAUAACAUUUGAUUAAUUCCUUCUUCUCCUUUCGGUUCUUGAGGUCUCUAAAUUUUCUUCGCUCACCGGAUUUCUUAAAAAGUUUUCUGAACCUCCUAACCAGCAUAUCCAUCUCUUCCUCAUCUAGCUCGUUUUCCUCAUCACUCUCAUGUUUCGAGGUUUUGAGAGCAAUGUUUUUCUUUUUCUCCUCAUUGCCUCUUUCGGCUUCCAAGUCUUCCUCAUAAGAAAUAAGAGAACCAAUUAAAUCAUCAAUAGGUAAGAUAUUUAAAUCCUUGGCUUCCUCAAUGACAGUCCUUUUUUGUCUCCAUUCCUUAGGUAGAGACCUAAUAAUUUUCUUAACCUUAUCCCUAUUUGAAAAAGUCUUUCCUAGGGCUCCUAGAGUGUUCACUAUGUCCGUAAAUCUAAUAUACAUAGAAUACAUACUCUUAUUUUGUUCCAUUUGGAACAAUUCAUAUUGCCGAGUGUACCUACUAAUUUUAGACUCUUUCACUUGAUUUGUGCCUUGAUAAACAACUUCAAGUUUGUGCCAAAUUUCAUUAGCACUCUCACAACUAGAUACUCUAUGAAAUUCUUUCUUAUCUAGUGCACAAAACAAGGCAUUCAUAGCUUUGGAAUUUAGAGUAACUUUUCCCUUUUCCAAUUCAUUCCAUUCCCGUGAAGGUUUUGGAAUAUCUUCCCCGACUUCGUUUCUAGUCAAAGGCAUAAAUGGACCAUAACAAACAAUUUCCCAAAUUUCAUAAUCUAAAACUUGUAAAUAAAUUCUCAUCCUAGUUUUCCAAUACGGGUAGUCAUUACCGUCAAAAAACGGUGGUCUAAUUGUGGAUUGUCUUUCCUUAAAGAUUGAGUCAUUAUGGGUUGCCAUGGAUCUUUAACUCUAGACGGUUAAGUCUACACAAGAGCACCUCGCUCUGAUACCAAAUGAAAUAUAAGUGUGCAACCCAAGAGGGGGGGUGAAUUGGAAUUUUAAAAAUUAUCCUAGCAAAUCCACACAACAAGCAAUCUAAUGUCUUAAUAAAAAUUGAAAGCAAUAAGUUCAAUCAAAGUACAAUAAUUAAAGAGCAAGGGAAGAGAAAGCAAACUCAAGGAUUUUUACGUGGUUCGGCAACCCCGCCUACGUCCACGCCUCCAAGCACACCGGGCUUGAGGAUUUCACUAUCCAAGCCUUUCCAAGGCUUCAAACGAUUACAAAUGACUUCAAGGUGUCAAUGAACCUUUACAACAAGAGAUUAUAUCUCCAAUCUCUUCACCCCAAGUGUUUCUCACACUUGUACUCUCACAAUUUGAUGUGAAAUGAAAAAUACAACAAUCAAUCUCUCUUUAAGAGUGGAUAUACAAAUUGAAGAACAAAGAUGAUUUAAUGAAUAAUGAUUCACGAAGUUGAAGCUCAAUAUAUGUUGUGUGCACUUGUUCUUGCUUGCUUGGAUCAUCAAAAAUGAAUUGAUUUUGAGUUUAUCUAGUUUGAGCUCAAAAACUAGCCGUUAUGCACAUUUUGGUAGUAACCGGAUUACCGGUUAUGGACAUCCAAAAAUCCGCUUAAUGUUACCAUUACAGCCACAAUUUUGAAUUUCUGAACAUUCGGAUUGCCGCUUUGUCACAUCCGGAUUUUCGCUUAUGCUCAGUAGCUUACUGCCCAACAACCGGAUUUCCGUUUGUCAGGAUCCGGAUUUCCGCUUUCAAUUUGGAUACAUUCUGCCCAAAAUUCGGACUUCCAUUUGUCAGAAUCCGGAUUGCCGCUUGCUACAGUGACUGCUACAGUGAACUAUUUUCUAAAAUUAUAGUUUGACCCAAAAACUUUAUAAAACAGUACUACGGCCCAAAACGUUAUAAAUCUUUACAAAUAAGUCCAAUUUCAGAAUUUUUAAAUAAUACUUUGUCAAUCCCAAAACUUUUUGAAAUUAUGAUUUCACCCAAACUAUGUGAAAUUAUAAAAUGACCCAAAAUAUUUAAAUAGUUUCAAAUAGGUCCAAAUCCGAAAUUUAAAACACUAUUAAAGAUUUUUAAAAUACUUUCAUUUUAGUCCAAAAUACUUUAAUUCCAUAACAUCAUUUUCUUAUUAUAAAAGCACAAUUCAUAAAUCUUUGUUCAAUCAAUACAUGUGGUUUGUUAUCAUCAAAAUCAAUAUUUAUAGCCAUAUAGGCUAACAAAUAUGUUAAACAUAUUCUUACUAUUUUGAAUAUUAAACAUUGACACACUAAUAUAAUAUCAUAAAAAAUAGUAAUAAUUGGAAAAUUUCGCUAUAAUUUGGGUUGAAACUUAAAUUAAUAAUCUGGAAUUAUAUUUUUUUAUUAUUUUACGUUGAAGUUCCAGCCUCCAGGUACUAAACCAAAUUAAUGGCUUGGGCUAAUGAAAGGAAUAAUUGGUUAAUGCUUUUCUAACUUGAACUAACGAUAUCUAUUAUUUCAUUCUAUGAUUAUUUUUUAUUUUUUUAAUUACUUUCGGUUCCAGUUCAUGGUACAUGAGAUACAUGAGAUGAAGAAAUUAGGAAUUGGNNNNNNNNNNNNNNNNNNNNNNNNNNNNNNNNNNNNNNNNNNNNNNNNNNNNNNNNNNNNNNNNNNNNNNNNNNNNNNNNNNNNNNNNNNNNNNNNNNNNGUAAUUUUUUGGAAUUUUAAAAAAUAUAGGGACUAUAAUGUUAAUUACCAAAUAGACACAUCCUUACCAUGGACGCUACUUUUGCAUUAAAUCGGACGGUGAGGAGCUAAAGUCACAAAAAGAUAAAAAUUCUGGUACGUUGUAACUGUUGUAACUAAGGCGAAUCCUUAAAACAUCUGACAAAGGGAGUACUUUUCUAUAAAAAAUUUAUCAUUUACAAUUUUUUUUACCAUCUCAUUUUGUCACUAACUCCUUUUGCCUUUGGUCAGAGCCACAAGCAAUGAUGAUGAUCCAACUGACAGUUAAUUAUAAUCCAUGAAUUAUUCUUCUUUUGUGUAAUUUUUUUUAAUUUUCUAUAUAUAUUUAUAGCACAGUUUAAAGUUUGAAGAAUUUGGUGGAAAGAGGAGCGACUACAAUCUAUACAUAACUUGUAUUUUUAAAAGAAAUUAUCUAUGUACUACCGCUAUUUCGUGAUAUAUACAACUAAUCACUAUAAAAUUUUAACUUUUUUUGCACUACUUUUGUUUUUAAACUUGUAUCAAUGAACCACUUUGACACUAAGAAUCUAAAUAAAAUAAUUAUUUUACUCCUAAAUGAAUUAAAAGACUAUUUUAUCCUAUAAAAUUUUUAAAAACAAAAAAAAUUAUAAUUACAAUACAACUAAUUGAUAGAAUUUUAUUGAAAAAUAGAUGUGUAAGAACCAUUUAAUUAAUUGAUAAAAUAUUAUUGAUUCUUUUAAUCAUUUUGACCUAAAAUACAUGUACUACUCAUCUCAAAUAUUUUUUUUUUUUGGUUUUUUUAAUCAAUCAUACAAUCACAAUUAUCAAAUAAUUUUCAUUGUUUAAAUUAAUCACCAAAAUAAUAAUAGUCUCAACCAACUUUGAACAAUAAAAAAAACUAUAAUUACAAAAAUUAUUGUUUAAAAAUUAUAAUUAUAAAAAUUAACAUAUUGGAUUUUGGUAUUUAUUUGUUUUAUUAAAUUUAGAGCUAUUCUUGUAAUUAUAAUUUUUUUAAAAAAAAUUGUAGAAUAAAAUGAUCAUUUAAUUUAUUUAGGGUUAAAAUUGUCAUUUAAAAAAAAUUCUUAGUGUCAAAGUAGUUGAUUGAUACAAGUUUAGAAAUAAAGGUGGUGCAUAGAGAAUUUUCCUAUUUUUAAUUUUACUCAAAUUAGUGCCCUAGUCUUGAUAUUAGCCAUAAAAUUUAAAUAUUUUGAGAAUAUGAAUCAAGUGAAAUGGCUUAUAUGCCCACAAUGAUUAAAUUAACUUAACAAUGAAUUAUAAAUUAUGACAAAAAAUUACCUAACAUGUAUAUGUAUGUAUGUAUGUAUGUAUGUAUGUAUCUUUUAUAUUCACAAGACUUAUUAGGGUAACAAGUUAUUUGUCAAUGGUAUUUGUGUUUAAAAGAGGAAAUUUUUUUAUAUAGGGUAGAGUGAGUUGGAUUUUAUGACAAAAGGUUAAAACAAAAUGAAUGCAUAUACCUACCCGUGGUAUAUUUUUAGGUACCAUUUAAUCAUCUUUUGUAAUAUCCCAACAUAUAUAUUGCAAUGGACACAUAUGCCCAAAUAUUAUUGCUAUGUUAAUUUAUAUAUGAGCAUAUUAUAUUUGCCUCCUCUUUAUAUAGUACUACAAUUUAUGUGGGUGCUCCAGUAGUCACAUAUGGCCAAUUGUUAUUGCAAUUUAAAUGGACACUUUAUACAACUAUUAGGGGCAUUUAUGAUAAUUCUCUUACUUGUAAAUUUUCUCUAUAAUUUACAAUUCAUUAUAAAUUAAUUUUAUGAUUAAGGGUAUAUCAGUCAUUUUAGUUAAUCUAUAUUCUCAAAAUAUUUAAAUUUUGUGGUACAUCAAGACUAGUGUAGAAAAGUAAAAUAAUUAUAAAAUUAAAAAUGAUGUAACUUGAGGGAGUUUGAACCUGUUCUAAAAUAUGAAGGUUUUUUUUGUUUUAUUUCUCGAAACAACAAGGGUAAUUCUCAUUUUUCCAAUUAGUUUUGGAACUCUAUUAAUAACAUAUAUUAAUUUCUUUAUUAUUUAACAAUGGGAUUAUGAAUACAAAUCAUGCUAGGAUAGGCAUAAGCAUGCUGAAUGACACGAGGCAAGUCGAAAUUAAUGACUUUAAUAUAGGGGUAUGCCUGAAAGUGAAAGCAAUAAAGGUUACUCUACGACUGCCACCAACAUCGACAGGGUGCUUGAUGUGGUUGAAACCCUAGUAAGCCUUAUUAAUCCCUUAGUGAUGCUGUUAAUAAUGAGAGCAAUAUGGUUAUAACAGUGGCGGAUUCAAAAAAAAAUUUAUUGGGAAUUUAAUUAAAUAAUAGUAAAAUAUAAAAAUUAAAAUUUUGAAUAUAUAAAAUAUUUGUUAAUAUAUUUAUAAUUGUUUUCAAAGCAUUUUUAUAUUUUUAAUAUGUUAUCUAAUAGAUUCAUUGUAUUAAAUAUUUUUUUUUUCAUAAACAACCAAACUAUUAUUCAUCCCAUUCAAUUCUAGAGAUGAUUCUUGACGAAUUUCAUUGCCGAAAAUGUUUUCUUUACUGUUGCGGCAAACUAGAAGAAUUAUCCUUAUUUUUGGAAAUAGAAAAAUGUUUUAGACGGUGGGCUAUUAUUAUUUUUAAUUAAAGUGUAGGCUUUAUAAUUCUUAACAAUUAAAGUUUAAAUUUUAUGGAUUUUUAAAUUUAUAGAAUGGGGGCCAUUUAGAAACCCAAAAUAAUUUUUCCUUUAAUUCUUUGAUUUUUUUUUGGCUUGCUUGUUGGGGCUCUGUUCACAUGUUGAAUCCACCACUGCAUUAUACACCGCUGUUUCAAAACUUUUAGGGAACUUUACCCAUUUGACCACUUUCCAACUUUCAAUAUAAAAAAAGACUUCACUCUAGUUUUUCUUACAAUAACAACCAUUUACAAGGUUCUUAGACCAAAAUACCUCUAAAACUAAACAAACAAACCCCAAACUCCCAAGCAACAAUCGAACAUCUCCACACACCACCAAAAUACUCAUCAUUUCACCUCUCCCACAUUAUCCAACUAUCACUCAGCCUCCCUUUUAUCUAUCUCACAUUCAUCAAACUAUUAUAUUUAUCAAAGUAUUGAAGACAAAAUCAAGCAAUAAACUAAAGAAUAAUAAGAAGUUAGGGUUAGUAUUUCUUCAAUAUCUAUCUUUUAUUUUUUGGUUGGGUUUAAUACAAAAGAUCGGUUGCUCAUUUUACUACAAUGUGGGUACAUUAAAUGGUUAAUGUGAGGUCAGAGAUUUAUAAAUUAGUAAAAUUCUGGCAAAAUUCGACGAAAAUGGGUUUUGAACAAUGUUGAACACGAAACCUAGAAUCCAGGUGACAAGUACCUGUCACCCAAACUUAGAAUAACUUGUCGUACUUGUCACCUGAAUUCUCGUAUUCAUCACCCAGGUGACAAAAUACUGCAUGUUGGGCGAUUAGUGCUCAUGUCACCCAAUAUACAAUCGCAUGUAAUUUGGGCGACAUUAUCUAUCACCUGGGCGAUAGUACUGUCAUCCGGAUCACCCGAAUUUGUUGAUAAUUAGUUAUUUAAUUAAUAUAGUAAUAUUAUUGUUUGCAGUAUUUUUAAUAAAGUAUUAUUAUUAUUUUGCAUCAGGUUAAUAGAGUUGGUAGUUCUUAUGAUGUAUUUUGAUAGAGCGUGGGAGACUUUGGAGGAUGGUCGUAUGGAGUACGAGAAUGGAAAAGUUACUGCAUUUUGUUUCCAAAACGAUGUAACAUUUGAACAAUUUAUUGCAAAGUUGUAUGAAAUUCUGAAGAAAAGUCCGGAUGAAUAUUCCCUCUUAGUAAAGACAAAUGUGAAAUCAACUCAUCCGACGAAAUCCAUUGAUUCCUGCUUAUAGACAUAGUAGACGAUGAAAUGGUGAGAGUGAUUAUGCGUAUGAACUCUGAUCCAAUUAACUAUGAGUGCACUCUUAUUUAUGUAACGACAAGUCCUAAAGUUCCGAUAGAACUUUCUUUGAUGCCAUCAAUUCAAACUUUAGCCUUUAAACACUGCUCCACAUUCCGCUCCCAUAAUGAUCCUAUUGAUGACAAUGUUGUUAAUACAGAUGUGAAUGCAUGCAGAAACAUAUAACAUUGAAUCCCAAAUGUAUUCUAAACAUUGCAAUAGUCCAAUCAACAUUUUGGAGGAUGUAGAUCGGUUUCAAGAAGUUAAUGAUUCAUCUCAAAAUCAUCUUAUCAGUCCAAGGACCUGUAGCCAAAACUUGUAGCCAAAGUCAGUCUAUUAGUCUAAUGGCUUGUAGCUAAAGUCGAUCUAGAGUUCCAAGUCUAAUAGACCCACGGCAGUUGGAGGCUCUAAUUGUACCAUCAGAUUGGAUAGCUUCAGACAUGGUUAAUGGUUCUAUUUACAGGGGUAUUUUUGUGGGCCAUACCAAUUAUUCAGCAUGAAAAAACUUAAAGUAUUGUGCUCCAUCGAAAUACUAAUCACGUAUUUGUCACCCAAGUAUUUUUUGUGCAAAUUUUCCACAUUACCACAUUUCAAUCCUGUCACCAAGCACCAUUCUCGAAGAGAGAAAUGUAACAUCUCGUUGCCAAUCCUAAACCACAUUUGGUACUCAUCAUCAACUUGUUUCAUGACUAGUCUGAGCAACAAAUAAUGUACAAGAUUGUUGCUAAAUCCAAGGUCCCCCAUCGUUAGAAAAUGACCAAAAUUGACUUUUUGAAUAGGCUAAAUUGAGUAUCAGUUAACUGGGUCUGUAUACACGUAAUGACAAAAUUAAAUCUCGUUAAAUUCGAAACGCAACAGGCAAAAUGAUCCUCGAUUGGUAUCUUCAAUGACCAGUGAUGCAUCUACUUGUCAGACAUAUCUAAGCAAUAAAUUAGGACAACAUUAGCAUAAAUGUUUCAAAAACAAAAACAAAACUGAAAUAGUCGGAAAACUUUAGGAUAACAUUAGCAUAAAUGUUUCAAAAGAAAAACAAAACAAAAAUGAAACAAUUGGAAAACUUAGGCGACAGCAUGAUUCAGUUGUUGUCACCCUACGUUGCCCGAUACAUGGGCAACAGGAUAUAUCGUCCAACCAAAUCUGGGCGACACAAUUCUGUUGUCCAGAUUUAGUUCCUAUCGCCUAGAACGCAGGCAACAACAUAUAUUGCCCAACCAAAUCAUGUCAUCACUCAUUUGCAUGCCUGGACGAUGCAAGCUUGUCGCCCGCGUUGCUCAGCCUCCCAUGCCACGCAUGGCCAUUUGGUUAGGUGAUGGAGGGGAAGCCACCCACUUUGCCCAAGCUUAACAUGGCCAAAUUUUAGGCAACACAAGCAACCACUCAUGUUCUUGAUUGGCUGGCACACCAACUUUCUCUUUAACCUCAAAAUAAUUCUCAGUAUAGAUCAACAAUUUCUUAGAGAUAUUUAAACAAAUACUUGGUGUGCCAUUUAUUAGAUAUCUUAAUCUUAAGAAAAUUGUAAUAUUUUCAUACCCAAUACACACCCUAAUGAUUAACUAUGAUCAAUGGUGAAUCAACUAGGCAAUUUAAACAAAAAAAAUAUUCUAAAUUAAUGAAAAAAAUUGUGAAAGUACCUAAGCUGCCAAAACCGUAAGUGAAUGAACUUGCUGGAACCAAACUAUAACUCACGUAAAUUGCCACUGGAAGUGAAGGAAAUCGCCGCUGGAAGUGAAGGAACUCGGAGGAACUCAAGAAACACCGAAAGUGAAGGAACUCCGGUGGGCGUAAUUGGAGCGAUAUGAGAUGUUUUUAGCUGAAUAUUGGGUUAAAUGUUUUGUUUGUUUUGUUUUGAGAAUUUGUAAGUGGUUGUUGUUGUAAGAAAAAUUAAAGUGUGGUCUUUUUUUAUAUUAAAAGUUGGAAAGUGGUCAAAUGGGUAAAUUUUCCAAAAUUUUAUUGAACCUAGGUUUCAAUCCGAGGUUAUCAUAAGGCAUGUGUUCCAUGGUUUUGAUUCAAUGGAAUUCCUUAAUCCUCCUUUAAGAAUUCUUCUUUCAGUUGGUACCUAUAUAUAGACCAAUUAUUUUAUCAUUUUUAAAUUGACAAGCUCGAUCUCACCCCAUUUACCUAAGAGAAACCAUGAAUCAAAAUAGAAGAACUUUCUCCACCAAUGAGUAAAUAUUUCAUAGUAAUCUCAUUAGACCGUAUGUCUUUUUUAUAUAUCUAGAUAAUAGAUAGGACCAUAAACUGAAAUAUUCUAAAACUACAAAGAUAGUUAUUAAAUCGUUAGCACCCAUAAAAACAUUCCUCCUAACACCAAAUUUUGUGCCUAGUUUCGAAUUUAAUUAAUGCAAGUGAAUGAUUUCGAGUACGAAAGGUGCAAAUCAGCACCAUUAUCAUUAUGAUUGAUUUUUUGUUUUUUUUUUUGUCAAGAUCAUUAGUAUUACGAGAGGAUCAUAGUGUUAUAUGAAGUCAAUGAUUUUGAAGAGAAGAAGCACAUAAAGUAAUAGAUAGAGAAGAGAUCUUGACAUAUUGCUAUACUAGAUCUCAUUCACAAAGAAAGAUAUACUUAAAUAGCCGAUAAUUUACCUUGUUCUAGAUUAAAAAAACAAGAAUUUCCUUUGGUCGUAUUAAAAAGCACAUCGAAAUGUACAUCAAUACACCAUUUUACACUCUAUCUUAUUUGAAAUAUAUUGAGUGAUUGGUGCGUAUUCCCUCGAAGAUUCUUGUUGAGUGUGCGAUUGGUGGAAAAAUAAUCAAAACCCCCUGUUGUUUGUCCAAUUUAAUCAUUUUCCUCUCAUAUUUUAAAAUCUCCUACUGUUAAAUAUUUAAAUGUAACUUCUUGUAUAUAUUGUUGUAUAUUGGGACAAGGUUGUCAAAUUUUCUCGAGCAAAUACAUUUUUUUAAUAUUCUCUGUGUCCCAAUAUAUAUAACAAGUUACAGAAUCAUUAAAAUAAACAAAAGUUUUAAAAAAUUUACUAGUAGUAUUCAGAAACGUAACUCUGACGGUUUAAUCUUGGACCUUUUGGAUGGUGUGUUGUCUUGAUAAAAUUAAGAAUAUUCAUUUGAUAUUCAUUUGUGACAAACCAGAAUUCCAGAUGUCCAGUUAAUUUAUGAAAAAAAUAAGUGCCUUUGUCUUUGAACAUUACGUGUUUCAUAAGGUAUUGAUCACUUUCAACGGCUUGUAAUUGGGUAUAAUAAACUCUUUUUUUAUCUUCUUCUCCUUCGUUGUUUUUUUCUCUUUUCCUUUGCUACUAUCGUUGUGAUUGAAACUUUUUGUUGUCGUGAUCAUUAAUUAGUGUCACAAGAGAAUUGUUUCAUUGAUUUGAUGUAGGUUGGUUGCAUGAGACAAGCAGGAUACCCUUUAAAGGUCAUAAUUGAUACAACAAAUAUUUGUUUUGGGCAUAUAAUAUACUGUUUUGAAGUUUGAGAAGAGACAAAGCAAACCCGGAAUGGUUUGCACAGUUUUGCCACAUGGUCAAAUCAAAAAUUUUAUUUUCCUCCUGUCAUUUUUCAGUUUUAAGAUAUUUUUCUUUUUUUUAAGAUUUGUAUUUUUCUCUAGAUGUCUAAUUUGAGAGUCGUUUGUUUUGUAUUUCUUGUUUAGAUUAAGAGAAUCUUAUUAUAAAAUAAUAUUUCAGAUUUGCUUAUUUUAAUAAAUUCGCGAUAAUUUAGGGUUAUUAUAUAAUGAGACCCAAAACCCUAGUUUUGUUAAUUUAGACUUUUUCAAUAAAACUUUUAUUAUUCAGAAAUUUUGAUUCUUCUAUCAAUCAACUUUAAGCGUUUCUGCAUCGUCAAUUCACUUCUAUUUAUUUCAUCUAAUCCAUAAAGUUAAAUUACAACAUAUAUAACAUGAACUCCAUGCAUGGGCUUUAAUGGCGGAACUCGGAAAAUUUUCAGGGGCCAAAUCUUUAGUGGCGUAAGCAAUAUGCGUAAAUUGUGCACAUAGGGUAUUGAAGAAAUACCAUAGCAGAUAAAAUAUUCAUGCUCAAUUAGAUGGCUGUGAGUAUUAAUGGAAAAAAAAAAGGCCAAAACGAAAAAGCAACCAAAAAAAAAUCUAGGGGCCCUAGAUUUAUUAACAUCGGACUUUUAAAAAUUGCAUGGGCCUUGUCUAUUUAUUUUUUAUUUUAUUUUUGGUUAUUAUUAUUUAUUAACACUUUGACUUUAUUUCAGAUUAACAGUUAUAUUUUUUUUCCUAUAUAUAACGGUUAUGUAUCACGAGUGCAUAGGCUAAAUUAGUCUUUUUAAUCUAAUUUUUCAUAUUUUAUUCAGAAAUUCCAAAAAAUUUCCAAACUCUGCCAGAGGCAUGACCCCUCUAACCUUAUAAAGCUCCACUGCUAGCUUCAAUUGAUUAUCAUCUUUUGCAUUCUCUGCUUAAUAUCUAGACAUCCUUUAGCCCUCUAUGAUAAAGCAUUGACCAUGUAUUUUUCAAUCAUCUUUCUUUUACUGGCCACUCGAGUUGAAAUCCUAGAGAGAUAUAUGCUAAGAAAUUAAUUUGAAAUUUACCCAGCCCUGUCUUUUAAAUAAACUAAAAAAAAAACUUUAGGUCUCUACAAAAUAUAUUUUCAAGUUUACAUGGAUUAACAAGCUUUAGGAAUGAUAGUAGGAUAGGGUACGGGUGGAGAGGCCUCCUCCAUUCUUGAACCAAUUAAAAAUUUAGCCCUCAUUCCCCAAUGGAUUUAAUGGGGUUGGGUGAAUCUCUAUGUACGGAAUAGUUUAUCCAUCCCCGCCUUAUUCUCCAUUUAUCUACUUUAUAGUAGAUUUUUAAAUAUAAAUUUCAUGAAAUAAAAAUUAAAAUGACUCAAAUAAAACCAUCACUUACAUUGUAAAGUAUUUAAAAUUAUUAAUAGUAAAUCAUGUUCAAUUUAUUGGAACAAUAUCUUGAAUCACAUAAAAAUGUAAAAUAUUUGAAUAAAUAACAAAAAAAUUUGGAGCCUACCUUUGAGCUCCUGCAUCAAUUCAACAAAAGAGAUAAAAUCCCCUAUAUAUGGCACUACAAGAAAAAGUACCUACUAUGACAGUCCUCUGUGUAACAGUUUUUGGUCUGGAGGCCUACAACAAUAUGAAAUACAAGUGUGCAACCCAAGAGGUGGGGUGAAUUGGAUUUUUAAAAAUUAACCUAAGCAAACCACACAACAAUUUAAUCUAAUGCCUUAAUGGAAUCAAAAACAAUAAAUUCAAUAAAGCACAAUAAUAAGAGAGUAAGGGAAGAGAAAAUAAACACAAUGAUUUUUACGUGGUUCGGCAAUCACCGCUUACGUCCACGCCUCCAAGCUCACCCAGCUUGAUGAUUUCACUAUCCAAGCCUCCCAAGGCUUCAAAUGCUUACAAUUGACUUUCAAGGUAUCAAUCAACCUUUUCACCAAGAGAUUAUCCACAUUCUCUUAACUCAAGUGUAUCCCAACACUUACAAUCACUCAAAACAAAUAUUACAAAUGUGUUUUUUCCUCACACAAAAUAUAUGAUUACAAAUCCAUACUCAAUGUGUGAAUAAAUGAAUCAAGAACAAAUUUAAAGCUUAAUGAAUGUUGUAUUCUCGCUUACAAACUCAAUGAUAAUGUUGUGAUCUACAUUUCUUUGAAUUUGAUUGAGCUUAUUUAUAGUUGGAGCUGAAAACUAGCCGUUAUUGACUUUCUGUUCGAAGUCGGAUUGCCGUUAACUCAAAGUCAGAUCGCUGUUUUGAAUGGUCUAAGUUACCAUUAGAUAGAAUUUCAAAUUGUUAGAUCGCCGUUUUCAAGAUGUCGGCUCGUCGUUAGUGUCCAGAGGCUAAUAUUUCAAUUCUGUGCAAUGUCGAUUAGCCGUUAUCUAGAUGUCGGAUCGUCGUUAGUGUCCAGAGGCUAAUCUUCAGCUCUGUUCGAUGUCGGCGAGCCGUUAUCAAGAUGUUGGAUCGCCGUUUUCUACAGUAACUGCUACAAUGAACUAUUUUGCAAAAUGACACUUUGACCCCAAAACUUUAUAUAACUGUACUAUGGCCCACAACGUUAUAACUUUUACAAAUAGGUCCAAUUUUAGAAUUUCUAAAUAAUACUUACUAUUUCCAAAACUUUUUAAAAUUAUGAUAUGGCCCAAAAUGCUAUGAAUACUUUUCAAAUAAAUUCUUCUCCAAAAUUUCAAGCAAUACUUGUUGAUUUCAAAGUUUUCAAAACUUUUUCAAUUAAACCAUCAACUUGAAAAACAACUAAUUUCAUAAAAUCAUUUUUUCAUUAAAUAUAAAACCUUUAAAAUGUGAAAAUAAUGAUUUAUUUAAAAUGUAUAAAAAUAAUUUGAGCUUUUAAAAACUUAAUCAUUCUUAAUUUUGUUUGUUAUCAUCAAAAUCAACCUUAUGAAUACAUAAAUGUUAACACAAUAAAAUCAUGAUCGAUUUACUUUCUGUCAUACACUUAUGACAUAGCUGUGAUAGAAAUAUCAUUUAUCAAGAAAUUAUGAUAUAUUGGUGAUAUAAAUAUCAUAUAUCAAGAAAUUAUAAUAGACUAGUGAUAAAUUAUUUGGCUAUCAAGAAUGAAAGACUGAUUUUUUAUUUUGACUUUAAUUGCGUGGGUUUGACUUAAUUUUUAAAAAUAUUAUAUUACUAAAAAAAGAAGUGAAACGAUGUCGUCUCAGUUGUAUGCCAAAUUAAAAAACAUUAUGUUUUGCAAGUGUUUGAGGAAAACCAGAAACGUAAAUAACAAAAAAUAAUAAUAAAAUGUUGUGUUUUGUAAAGGGGGGAAACAAUUUUGUGAGAAAAGAGGCAAAAAUUUUUCUAAGUGUUUAGAAAAUUUGCAAGCGUCAUUGUGGAAUCUCAAAAUCGAUUAGCACACUUGUAGCAAACCCUCAAAGGCCGGCCAUAGCAAACUAACGACACCCAAACACCCAUCGUUUCAAAAUCGUUUUGGUUGUUUCAUUGAAUCGUCUCUCUUUACUGCAGUUGUCACUGAACCAUCUCUCUUUGUUGGGACGAAGUCAGUGCUAAUCGAAACCCAAAUUGGAAUGAGAACAACAUACAUGGUACUUUUAUUGACUGAAAGAAACCCAAUCGCUUACCAUGAAAGAAGACCCAAAUCAUUGUUGCCGAAGUUGAAACCCUAGGCUUGACGGUGAAUUGAAGCUUCACACCAACUAGUGAGUCGUUUCUACAUUUGCAUGUAUUUAAUUUUGACUAUUUAUUCAACUUUUAUGUAAAGUAGUAAAUAAUUUGUAAAAAAAUGAAAUGUAUUUGCAUGUAUUGCAUAUAUUGCAUAUAUUUCGGUAAUCAAUUUACUAAAUAAUUUCCUAGGAAGAUAGUCUUUAAAAAUAUUUUGAGUUCUGUUUUAAGUUGUAAUCGUGCAUUGCAUAAUGUUGUUAAUUUUUUUUAUUCUAGGUAAUUCUGAUUUAUAUUCAUGUGUCUGUGUGUGAUUUUUUUUUCUAGCUAUUUCUGAUAUUGAAGCUUUGUUAAGUUAAAUGAGUGUUAGUGUAUGAAGAUGGUGAUAAUCUGCAACUUAUAUAUCUUUAUGUUCUAAUAGUUGAUUCUUUAAAUAUUGGCCUAAAAUGUCUAUAACAAAGCCUGAGGAGGGAUUCGUAGUAAUUGAUUCUAUUAUGUAAAAUUGAGGGAUUCUCACAUCUCAUUGUCAUCUACCUAUGCAUGAGGUGUUGUAGCUAUUUUGCAUCUACUGGUAUUGUUGUUACUAUUGUUGUCUUCAGUCGUAACAUUUGCGUGUCAAAUAUAAAUAGUUGUGAUUGCUGCAUAAACGUGACAGUUCGAUGUUCUUGAUUUGUUGAAGGCUUUGUAUGAAGGUACUUGAAGCUUUCUUUGUGUUUGCUUUCAUUUUUGUUCUACUGAUGUAUAUUAUUUGAAGUUGUAGUUUAUUAUUUCUUCUUAGGCUUACUCAUAUGAUUAAUGUAAUUUCUUGGUACCUUUUUAGCCCUCUUGAAUCCAAGUUUUGGAAUUCUAUCAACUGAUCAUUCAAAAUAUAUUUCAGUAAUAAAUAUUGUUGUUGGAUUUGUACCUGGAAUUGGAUAUAGCAGCAAAUUGUUGUGUUUAAUCUGGUAAGUUCCAUUUCUUAUCCUCUAUUAUUUGACUUUUUGAAGUUGUUAUGCACUUGCUUAAAAUUUACAUAUCUUUAAAUUUAUAAUUAUGAUACUAUGUAAUGUGUUUGUUGUGGGGCCUAUCUUAUUUAUUAUAUUUAUAGUAUAAUAGGAGAGUGAACUUUUGAAAAGUAUGAAUUUCAAUUUAUCAGCUUUCUUGGUUACUAUAUUUGUAAUUUUGAAAUUUGUUUCUGGACCAUGACCAUGCUUUUCCGUAAAGUAGGUUGUUUCUUUAAUAUAAAAGAGAAAACUAUAUAGGCCAAAUUGUGUUUAAUUUGAAAGGCCUCAUGUAGGUUUAACUUUGUUUAUUUCACAUGGUGUUGUAACAUUAGACAAAUAUUCUAAGUAUGUACAUUCUUUCUUUGUUUUAUGUAUAUGUCAGGAACAUUAAUUAUUAAGCCAAAAAUGGAUAAAUCUUGGAUUCAAUGUAAUCGACUGUCGACUGAAUAUGAAGAGGGUGUCGAGAAAUUUAUAAAUUUUGUUAUAAAAAAUGCUGGAGGCAGUAGUGUCAUUAGGUGUCCAUGCCUUGAUUGUUAGAAUUUAUCAUUUGAAACACCUACAACUGUAAAAGAUCAUUUAUAUAUGCAUGGUUUUGAUGUGAAAUACGACAAUUGCUUUUGGCAUGGGGAAGAGAUUCGUAAGAGUCCUUCUCCUCAAAGAGAAAACCAUUUUCAGCAAUAAAAUAUAGAGUUUGACAAUGAUAAUGAGUUAGAAAUAGUUAAUGAUGCUUAUAAGGGUUGUUGUGGGGACCCUAAGGCAUUCAAAGAGUUGCUAAAAAAAACUGAGAAACCCUAAUACCUAGGAUGCACAAAAUUUGCUAAGUUAUCCUUUUUAGUGAAAUUGUUCAAUGUGAAGGGUAGAUUUGGGUGGUCUGACAGUAGCUUUUCUGCAUUGUUGAAUGUUUUAGCAGAUGCUUUCCAUGAAAAAUAAUGAAAUUCCAACCUAUAUGUAUGAGGCCAAAAAGACAAUGUCAGCUUUGGGCUUAGAAUAUGUUAAAAUUCAUACUUGUCCAAACGAUUGCAUACUCUACAGAAAAGAGUAUGAAGGUUUUUUUGAAUGUCCUACUUGUGGGUUACGUAGAUGGAAGAAAAAAGAUGGUAUUGUAGACUAAUAUAGGAAAGCGGUUCCUACAAAAACUUUAUGGUAUUUUCCUCUUAUACCUAGGUUUAAGCGCAUGUUUUAGUCAUCAGAAACUGCUAGGGACUUGACUUGGCAUGCAAAUGAGAGAAUGGUUGAUAGUAAACUCCGACAUUCGGCUGACUUACCAUCUUGGAAGUUAGUAUAUGAGAAAUGGCCGAUCUUUGCAUCUGAUCCUAGAAACCUUCGCCUAGCUCUAUCAGCUGAUAAAAUCAAUCCACAUAGCUCUCUUAGUAGUACAUAUAGCUGCUGGCCAAUAAUUCUUAUUACUUAUAAUCUUCCACUAUGGUUAUGCAUGAAACGAAAAUUCAUGAUGUUGUCCCUCUUGAUUUCUGGUCCUCAACAACCGGGUUUAUACAUUUAUGUGUAUUUGCAACCUCUUAUUGAGGAUUUGCAAACUUUAUGGGAUGUUGGGGUGGAGGCAUAUGAUGCCUACAAAAAUGAGUACUUUAAUUUGCGGGCUGUAUUACUAUAGACAAUAAAUGACUUCCCGGCAUAUAAAAAUUUAGUAGGAUGUACUGUUAAAGGAUAUUAUGCCUGCCCAUAUUGUGGUGUAGAAAUACCAAAAUGUAGACUUAAACACAGUGGAAAAAAUGUAUACAUUGGGCAUCGCCUUUGGCUUCCUCAUGGUCAUAAAUUUCGGUUCCAAGCAAAAACCUUUAACAAUAGUGUGUGUGAUGAAACCCCUCCAAAACUGUUAAACGGUGAGGAAAUUUUCCAGCUGGUCAACUCUAUUGAUAAUAGAUGAGGGAAAAGCAAUAGUAAAAAGCAUAAAAGUGAGAACAAUGAUGAUCUCGUGUGGUGGAAGAAGAAAUCCAUAUUUUAUAAUUUAGAGUAUUGGAAGCACUUGCUUGUGUGGCAUCAAUUAGAUGUUAUGCACAUUGAAAAGAAUGUGUAUGAAAACAUCUACGGUACACUGCUACAUAUUCCUGGAAAGUCCAAAGAUGAACUGAAGUCGAGGAUGAAUCUCUUGGAAAUGAAAUAUAAGCCCAAAUUAGCACCACAAGUUAAGGGAAACAACAAUCGUACAUGGCUUCCUCCUGCUUGCCACACCUUAACUAAGGAGGGAAAAACCUUAAUGAAGAAGAAGUGGACAGGAGUGUUCUUUGGAAGAGAGCUCGGCAAAUGAAAAAUAGAGGAUACCACCCUGAUUUUGAACCAGUUAUUAAAAAAAUCGUAAGAAAUUUUUUGCUUACUACUGUAAUUUUAGAUGUGAUUACUUAUACUUUGAUAACAUUAACUUACUUAAUUCAUUGGUGUGGUAGGAUAACUGGAGAUGGAAGCUAAAAAAGGAAAGAUGCGGCCAUCCGGAAAAAAUGAUAUUCUCACACAAUCUUUGGGAAAAGCUCCAAAAUGUGGUCAUAUGCAAGGAGUGGGCAAGUUUGUAACCCUGUCUCUGUAUUUUCAAACUUGCCAGAGGCCUGCUGAUAGAGACAGGCAAAGAGAGAACCGUCUAUGGAGGGAAUCAAUUAACCGGCAGUUGGAAGAAAUAAGAAAAACACAUCGUCAUUCAGAUAUAGCAAGUUCCAGCUACCCUCGCGUGCCUGUUGAAAACAAUAAUGCUGUCGGAGAUGAUGGCCUAGAGUCCGUUCAAGCUGAAGCAGUUGCUGAAACACCAAAGGUCAGUUUGUUUACUAUUUUACUUAUUAUUUCUGGAUUUAUUUUGUUGCAAUUUUACUUCUUCUACUUAACUGUAUAUACUUGUUGAUGGAUAAGGGUUGCUGUAGUUACUGUUCUUACCUGUUGUUUGUGGAUUUAGUUUGCUGUAUGUUUACUAUUUAUACAUAUGUUGUUUCUGGAUUUUCUUUGAUACUGUUAACUACUUUGUAAGAUAAAUUUAGAGUAUUUAGAAACUACUUAUGCCAAUCACACUGAACAAUUAUGUUUGUAGUAGCUUGAUCAUUUGAAAAAAAAAAGAAGCAAGGGACACCUAAAAACACAGUAGAUAUGAACUUGCCAAUAGUAAACUGUAAGAAAGAGACAAACAUAGCAAACAAAAACAAGGAUACACCUGCCAAAAAACUCGCUGUCAUUGCAAGAAAGAGUCCAAGAUUGAACCCAACUGAAAUCUCAGUGGAGAUGCCUGAUGAUUUGUUACAAGGAAAAAAAAAUGGCAACCCUAAAUAUCAAGGCACAAAAAAACAUUUAAACUUUAAAUCAGUAGAACAACAUAAUGAUAUAAUAAAGAUAAGACAUACAAAUGCUGUAAACACAGACCAAGGACGAGGGCAAAAAAGUUACAGUGAAGCCUUUGCCAGCAAGGAGGAACACAAGGCAUGCAGGAGGGGUACAACGAAACAAGAUUCCGUUGCUGCAGUUGUUUGGCAUAAUGUGUAAAGCUAAGAUGUCAGACCAAGAAUGGAUUCCAUAUCUACUGGAUGAUGUUGUUUUCCAAUUGGAAGGGAUUAGAGCUCAUAUUGGGCGGCGUGACUGCAGUGCAGUUCUGUCAAUGGAUGCUAUAAGAGUAAACGUAAUCGAAGUCUAUAUUGCGUAAGUGAUUUAUAAUCAUUCUAGUUUUAUGUGUACUUUUUAUAGGAGUCCCAAUUAAUGGACUUUAACAUUGUUUGUCUUUUGUUUAUCAGGAUGUUGUAUGCUUCCAUUCUCCAUGGGAAAAGAGGAGUCAAACUAUUUGGAUUCAUCCAUCCAGGUCUAGUUUCACUAGGCGAAGAACGUAAUACUACUGCAUCAUUUGACCUUAAGGCAUGUGGAGUUUGUGAUCGGUUGAAAAAAAUGAAGAAGUGACAAUUCAUCUUUAUGCCUUAUAAUCCCUAGUAUGCUCCUUUAAUACUUUUCAACUCAUAUUAAUUUCCUUUCUUACCUUAAUUUACUGAAAUUGCUACCUUAAUGUUCUUUAUUUUAUUAUAGUUAUCAUUGGGUGCUGGUCAUCUUUGAAGUGUUGAAAAAAGAAGUUUAUUAUCUCGAUUCUUAUGGGGGAGAUCCUUAUGAUGAUUUAAAAGAGCUCAUUAAAGUGUAUGUUCAAUUUUUUUUUAUUACCAUUGUCAAUAUGAAAUUACUUUUACAUAGUUUACAGAUACUUUGUUACAAUUUUUUUUUUUUUUUUGUAUACAACUCUAUGACAAUGUUUAUAGCACAAGAAGAUUAAGAGAAAUGAAAUUAUAAUAAGAUGGUCAGAUCUGUAAAGGUAAAAAGUAUUACCUUAACUAUAAUUAUAUAUUACCAUGCUUAAUUGUUAUUAUAAUGAACUGUGCAAUUGUUGAUUGUGAACAGGUCCCACAGCAACCAGCAAGUUCAGUCGUGUGUGGAUUUUAUGUCAUGAGAUUCAUAAAAGACUUAAUUAAUGACUUCUCUUUGCUAAUGAACAAUGUGAGUUCCUUGAUCAUAAUUUUCUUUAUAAAAAAGAACAUGUCAUGUGUUAAAGUUUCACUACAUAAUAUUUAUUUUUCAUAAACAGUUCAACGGAAAGACAACAUAUUCCGAUGCUGAAUUAGAUGAAGUCCGUAUUGAGUGGGCAAACCAUUUUUCUGGAGUACUUGUUAUGUGAGGUAACCCUUACCUAUUAUGUUGUUAUUGUGAGUUCAUUGAUGAAAUAAAUUAAUUUACUAGCUAUAUUUUACUUAGGCAGUUAUCUAGCUUAUUAUACUUCUAUGUUGCAUUAUGAUGAAGAUGGUGGGUACUGCUGGAGUUGACUAGUUUUUUUCUUUGUUUGGAAAAUAGCUCCUGGAUAUUGAUGCAAUUUUACACAUUUCGGUUGUUCUUAGGUUGGAUUUUCACGUUUGGGAACUGCUAACCUUGUCUGAUCAAUAUGUUUGGCUUCUUCUUGUGUUACUGGAAAUGUUGCUAGAAAUGAACUAUGUUGUUGCCUUUCUUCAUGUUGGUAGAAAUGACUCUGUUGUUGGCUUCCUUAUGCUACUGGAAUGGAACUGAUCAUGGUUCAUUGGUGUUAUACAUGUUGCUUGAAUUUAGUUUUUAUAUUGUUAUAAUACUCCUCUUCUAUUUAUGUUGGACUUGUCACUCUCAAAUUUGAUUAAAUUAUGUUUGCUGACAAUUAUGAAUAAUUAGUCAAUGUUAUCCAUUUCAUUUUCUUUGUCAGUGAUUUUUAAUUGCAAUAUUAAUUUUAAUAAUCUAAUUAAUUAGCUAAUUUAUGAUAUAUUAAUUUCUAAUAAAUCAAUUACAGGAUUGUUAUUAAAAUGAUAAUAUUUUCAUGGUGCAAACAAAAUACCCAAUUUUUAUUAAUUAUAAUUUCAAUUUUUGAUUUAAUUGAAAAUUUUCAUUUAAUUAUAAUUUGCAUUUCGUGACAAAUUUAAUUUUCCGGCCAAAAAUUCAAAAUAUGGCGCACAAAUUUUUUUAAAAAAGAGCCAAAUUCAAAUUUAUUAUAUUCCCCUCUAAAUAAAGUUAUGACAGUUAUGUGACUGGUAAUAUCUAUCACAUAUUAUGACUAAUAUUGUUCUGUCAUCAAUUCUUGACGCUGGCUACAAUGACGGUAUGAACAACCGUCAUCCACCCCUACUAUGAUAGUUUUUGCCUGCAUAGUAGGCAUUUUUUCUUGUAGUGUGGGGAUUAGGGUGGGAGUGGGAUGAGAAGUACAAAACUAAGGCCACCUCAUUAAGGAUUUGAGGAUUAUGUUUCCUGGCCUAUUCCCCAUAAACUUAUCAAAAUUUAUCUCAUUUAGAAUGUGCCCCUUGGAGUCCCAAACGUAUAGAGAAUUUUGCCUCCCAUAGCAAGCUUAGUAUGCUGGUUACAAUACUCAAGAUUAACCGUUGAUUAUUCAUCACUAUGUCUAUUAUUACAUACGACCUCAUAUCUAUUAUGAGUGUAUACUAGAAACAUAAAAUGACAUAUUGACUCUUAUACGUACCUCAUUGUAGUUGCUUAACGUCUAGUAACAGUAGCGAAAUGUACAUCAAUACAUCAGUUUCCACUGUUAUGAGUGUACAUUGUUUUUGCGAAACAAAAAAUAUUGGCUGCUCGGUGUGUAGAAUUCUUGCCAUUGGUGUAUGGAUUUCUUGUAAAAUAUUGGUUUGUGCUCAAUGUAUAUUUAUUUCUCAUUAGGCGGUUGGUGGAAAAAUUAUCAAAUCUCUUACUGAUAAAAUAAAUUUUUUACGUCUUUUAUUAUUUAACCCCUAAAAAUUUUAUUGAUCAAAAGUUGGUGGGUUUUUAAUGAUAUCAGGAAUAAUAUAAUAAAAGACACAAAAUUUUGAAAUUUGACAAUGUCUUUUUAACAUCUUAUGAUCUACAUUGUUUUAAAAAAGUAGGGGAAAUAAUUAUUUUUCUCAAACAAUAGGGAGAUUUUGAUCAUUUCUCUCAUUGCUAGUUGAGAUGUAAAUGUAGAGGACUAAAGAGUGUGUGUAUUUAUGCUGCGAGCGCCUUUAUUUUUUUUUUUAACACGAACAAAUUGUUAAGCUAUGGAGUUUAAUAACAUUAAAAACUGACUCUAUUAAACCUCAUAUCUUAAAAGCCUAUCCGCAUAAAAAAAUAAUAAUAGGGUGUCCGCACUAGAGAAUGACUAUAUAUAUAUAUAUAUUCAAAUAUAGUUGUUAAAUUUUAAUUUUGUCAAGCAAACACAUUUUUUUUUAAUAUUCUUUUCUUUUCUUUCUCAAUAUAUAACAAGUUAUAUCACUACAAUAAAUAUUAUCUUUUACAACCAAUCAAAAAUGAUGCGAAAACACAAUUACAACAUUUAUAAAAAUGUCCUAACGAAGGAUGCAGUAAAUAACAUCAAACUUUUGUAGCCUUUUUCAGCUGCAGUAAGAAACACUGCAUAAAAUGCAGUUUUCUAGGCCAUUUGCUAUAAGAGUAAAUUGCUGCAAAAAUUAGUAAAUAAAUAUGGAAAUCUGCUGCCAGUAAAAUUGAUAACAGUUCAAUCAAUUAAGAAUAAUCUCCAUAAAAUCAUUUGAACGUGGCAUCCAUACAACAAAAGUUUAGUUGAAGAUUGUUAAAUCUCUACACUAAAUAUAAUACUCAAAGUGUAAACUGAAACUCUUGCCCAGGUUAAUGUUUUUUUCCCUUGACUUGUAAGAUUCAAGUAUAUGUAUGAACAAAAUUAGAAACUAUAAGCCUACUCCAACAAGAUGUUCCUCAAAUAGUUUUUUGAGAUCUUUUAGUUCCAUUUUAAUUUGUGCAGUAUGAGACUUGCUAAGUGCUUCUAAAUUCAUCAUCGUUGGUGUAACUCCAAAUCCAGCUCCUCGUAUACGCCCAUUACGUUCUUUUCCUAUCACAUGGGUCAGAGCAUCAUCGUGAAUUGUUGAGGCAUCUUCACUCACAUGUGUCCUCUGAUAUUCAUUAAUUGUUUUUGAAUCCAUGGAGAAUUUUGAUUGUUAAUAGCAAAAAAAUAAGAAUAAAGAACUAAAAAAUCAUAAAGAAUUUAUCACCAGUUUUUUAGCAACAUCCUCAUUAAUUGUAGUCCUGUCCUUCUUAGUAUGUGCACGAAUCCACACAUCAACUCUAGUUAUCGGUGAGUUUGGUCUCUCUUGCAUCUAAAAUAUGUAGUGGAGAACAUUUUAUUACUCAUCUAAUUUUUUGUGUAAUAAUAAAUAAACUUAAUGAUAUGAUUUUUCUAACCAUUUCAUGUCUUAAACGAGCCAUCCCUUUUCGACUUGUCCUGUGGAUGUUAGUUUGUUUUGAUCUCAUUUUUUUAAACCUCUUACUCUUCAACUAUAGUAAGAAGAUAUGUUAGAUUAAUGACACUAUUCUUGUACACUAAUAAGAAAUUAUACUUGUACAUUAAUUGGGAAAGAAACUUACUUUAAACCUUUACCAUUGUUGCUCAGAUUUAAUGUUCCUUGGUCUCAAGUCUUUCAAUGCCUCAAGCUUUCUUGUUACAUCAUUGCUUUUAACCAAUGCUCUGAUUUUAUGUGUUAAAACUGAUUUGUAAUUCCUCCAGCUCCUACCCAUUGCACUCAUUAUAUAUCUUCUAUGACUUCCAUCAACAUUAAAUUGUUGCUGCAUUUAAAGGGAAAAUAACAUUAAUAAUUAAAUUUGAUAAGUUAAAUAAUAUUUACCACAAAAGUAGGAUGCUACCUUAACACAAGUCCAAAGUCUUUCUCUUAAGUCUGAUUCCACUCUAUGCCAACUAUCCAAGGUCAACGGUACCAUUUGUCGUACUAAAUAACCAAUAAAAGAAGAUAACCUAUUUGAAUUUCUACCAACGGGGUUAUUAUUGGUUGCUUCGAAUUGAGAUAAGUGGAUUCAUGCAUAACGUUUAUGAUAUAUAUGUACGAAUUUAUGUAUGAAAAAAAUAAUGUUGUUCAUAAGGAUUGGCAUAUUUAUAGUUUUGAAGUAUUUUGUUGUUAUAGUUUAUAAUAAUGAUUUACAUUUUGGUUUAAAGUUUAUUUAAAAUGUUUUCUUAAAUUGUUUUUAAAAAAAUGGCUUUAAAAUACUUGUGUUCCAUAAAUUGUUUUUCCUUAAAAAUUAUAUAACUUGUAAAGCUUUGCCAAUUAAAUUUCUUAUAAGAGACUUAAUUGAAUGAUUGAUAUUGAAAGAUUGAAAAUUAUUUUAAGGUUUUGGCUCAUUGUCCUUAGUUACCAAUACUGAUAUGACUUAAUAGUUAACUGUAUUGUGUGCUCCUAUUGACGAUUAUUGCGGGGUAAAGUACCCUGAUUGAACUACCAACCGGCUCACCAAGAGUACAUGUGACACUAUGAGGCAUGAGCAAAAUUAAACAAAUGAAAGGUUGUAUUGACAAAUGAUUAUUUAUUGAAAAUGGUCAUUAUGUUAUGACAUUAUUGGUUAUAAAUUUUACUGUAUAAAUGUAUUAGAUUAUAAAAUGAUUACUGAUUCAUGGCACUUAAUAAUUAUUAUUAUGUACUUCAUCCUUAUUAGCAACCUUAUGUAUGAGUUUACUUACCAAGCUGACGGCUCAUCCCUUGUCUCCAACAUUUUGCAGAGUGAUGUUAGAGAUGGUUUUUAGAGAAAAGAUUUGUUAGCCGAAAGCUUUGGACAUUUUCGUGAUGGAUAAAUUGUUGCUAUUUUGGUUAUUAUUUUAGAGCUGAAUUUGGUAUUGGAGGAUUAUUGUUAUAUUUAUUAUUUUAGAGACUAUGUUUCGACCUUGGACAUUAUUGAUUUUCUUUUGGGAAUAGUAAUAAGAAUUAAUUGUUUAGAGAUUGCAUUCUAAAUUUCUUUUAGAAUUCUUGGGAAAAUUUGGGGUGUUACAAAACUAUUGCUCAAGAUUGUUCCAAAGCUCAUGAGAAAUUUUAAAGUUUAGCAUAAGACUGAGAAUUUCCAAACUGAUAGAGGACAUCAGCCAGCUCAGUAGCACUUGAUUCUUUCUCUUUUAGGCAGUGAAUGCUAGAUUUUCUUAUGUAACUUCCGCAGUGGAGUUGUUAGUUUCAUCAGGAAGAAACUGAUCUAGAUAGUGUUUGGAACUAUCAAGAAGAUCUUCAAGUCCAUUAGCACGAACUGAAGUGAGAGUUUGAGAUUUCCAUAUCAUGUAGUUUAAUAUAUCAAGCUUAACAAGUGAGGUAAAGGUGAAUGAGGAAACAGAGGACACUAUGUUUGGAUUUGAGCUUGAAGUAGCCAUAAGAGCUUAUACAUCUAGCUUUGAUACCAAGUUAAAGUUUGAGUUCUUGUCUGGUUAGUGAAAUGAGGGAAAAUUUAGAAAGUUGUGAAUUGAUUCAAUUAUAUUAAUACUGCUUCAUUAAAAUCCACUUUUCCAACCACAGACGCAACCAAUGAGAUACAUAACCAGUGAGCUAGAUGCAUAGAGUUGUAUGUUUUGGUGCAACUCUUUGUUAUGAUGUAUAAAAAAUCGCCAUCACAUUUCAAUUGUUUUCUAUGAAGCUAAUGAAAUUUUUGUCUGUCAAAGUAACCAUGUCGUUUUCAUUAAUAAGUGGUGGCAGUGUGGUGGCAGCGCCUUGUGGUUGGCCAAGCGGUGAGUAUCUCCAAGGUUUAGAACGACCGUGACAUAAACUUGACUGGGGGAUGACAAAUUAUAAUAUUGUUGAGUAAGAGGUGUGAAGGUGCUAAGGAUUUUGAUGAGAAGAAGAAAUGAAAGUAAGAGAAAUAGAAAUGAUUCUGCUCACUACAAGAAAAAUGUUAUUUUAUUACAAAAAAUUUCGUCAUUAAAGAUAACAAAUUAGUCAUCUUAUAUUUUUUAUGAUAAAAAAUAUAUCGUUACACGUUAGUCGUCGAAAGACUGUCUUAAAAACUUCUAGCGACCAGAAUUAUUUUCGUCAUAUUAAAGAUAUGUUUUUGUGACAAAAAUUAUUGUCUUAAAAUUAAGUUAAAAUUGUCACAAACAAUAUUAAAAAAGAUCGAAUUAGAUAUUCAAAAAAGCAAUUAAUGACACUUCAUAUUUGUCACAAUUGUUGAUUUAUAGUGACUAUAGUAUUUGUCUCAAGAGUAUGUAAAUAGAGUCUCAAUAAUUAUUAAAAAUUGUCAUUUUAGAGGUUUGGAUAUACAAUUAGCAAUGCUAUUUUUCUGUUAUUGAAGUUCACGCGGCAAUAUACAAUUGGUAAUUAAUUUAGUCUCAAAUUUGUUAUGAAGGCGGUUUAUAUAGUCUCACAUAAAUUUUAAUAACAAUAUGUAGUUAUAGAAAUCAAAAUUUAAUGACAAAAGAACUUUAAAGUGAAAAAUAUUAUUAACAUAAAUACAAUUCAUGACAAAGAAAUCUAAAAUCUAAAAUGUAAAAAAAAAAAAAAUUCAUGUCCAAAAAUAUGAUUACAUUGUAGAAGAAAAAUAAAAGUAACAUUACACAAACGGAGAGAUAUGUAAACCAUAGUUGUUUCAUGAAUUCUUCAACUUCCUUAGAUUUGCUAUUUUCUUCCUUGAUUUUAAUUUUUGAUUCUCGUUUUGUUGAGUCAAUGUUGUGGUAGAUGAUGACUUUAAAGGUACAUGUCAUUUUAAAUCUUUACAAAAUUAAAGAUUUUCCCCAAAACUAUUUAGCAAAUUUAAUCAUAUAUUACUUCAAAAUAAUAAUAUAAUCAAAAGAUUACAAGCACAUAAUCAUCCUCGAUUCACUUGCACAAAUUUUACAUCCAAAACUCUUUAAAUUAAUCUAUCAAAUAGUUGGAGUCAAACUUGAACCAAAUUAAACUAUUAAGCAGUCAAUGAAUCAAUAUUUAUAAUAAAUAUAAAAUUGAAAGAAAUAAGAGAUUGAGUAAAUAAUAAUAAUAAUAAUAAUAAUAAUAAUAAUAAUAAUAAUAAUCAUCAUCAUCAUCAUCCUCCUCAUAAGAUAGCUUACACAUUUAGAUUUUGUAUGGAAACUACUUGAACCUUUUACGCUCACUUUAAUACAUCUUCUGAAACAAAGUAAUCUGGGAGAGACUCCACAUAAAAGAAGAUAAAUACAUUAAUUUUAAUUAAACAUACAACAACCACAUUAGGGGAAAAAAACCAAGGCUUGUUGACCUUUAUUAGUUUAUUUAAUCACUUCAUAUAUGUUUCCUGGGAAAUUCAACAACAUUUUGAGCAAAUUGUACCAACCCAAGCUUCAACACCAUCCUGCGAACCAACAUAUCAAGCUUCAUAAUAUUUGAUAGUUAAGAUUUUGUUCUAUAACUCUAACUUAUAAUUAUUGGUUGGACUUGAAUAACUUAUUAACUCUUUUUCAUUAUAUUAAUACUAGCUAAAAUUUUCUUUAAAAAUUAAAGAAAGAUGAUUAAUUACAUACCAAGAUGAAGUGAACGAUAAUAGAAAUAUCCCAAUUUUCUAAGUUCUUACGAAGAAUUUUUUUGGUUGUUUUGGUGUUUGGCGGGGGGGGGAGNNNNNNNNNNNNNNNNNNNNNNNNNNNNNNNNNNNNNNNNNNNNNNNNNNNNNNNNNNNNNNNNNNNNNNNNNNNNNNNNNNNNNNNNNNNNNNNNNNNNNNNNNNNNNNNNNNNNNNNNNNNNNNNNNNNNNNNNNNNNNNNNNNNNNNNNNNNNNNNNNNNNNNNNNNNNNNNNNNNNNNNNNNNNNNNNNNNNNNNNNNNNNNNNNNNNNNNNNNNNNNNNNNNNNNNNNNNNNNNNNNNNNNNNNNNNNNNNNNNNNNNNNNNNNNNNNNNNNNNNNNNNNNNNNNNNNNNNNNNNNNNNNNNNNNNNNNNNNNNNNNNNNNNNNNNNNNNNNNNNNNNNNNNNNNNNNNNNNNNNNNNNNNNNNNNNNNNNNNNNNNNNNNNNNNNNNNNNNNNNNNNNNNNNNNNNNNNNNNNNNNNNNNNNNNNNNNNNNNNNNNNNNNNNNNNNNNNNNNNNNNNNNNNNNNNNNNNNNNNNNNNNNNNNNNNNNNNNNNNNNNNNNNNNNNNNNNNNNNNNNNNNNNNNNNNNNNNNNNNNNNNNNNNNNNNNNNNNNNNNNNNNNNNNNNNNNNNNNNNNNNNNNNNNNNNNNNNNNNNNNNNNNNNNNNNNNNNNNNNNNNNNNNNNNNNNNNNNNNNNNNNNNNNNNNNNNNNNNNNNNNNNNNNNNNNNNNNNNNNNNNNNNNNNNNNNNNNNNNNNNNNNNNNNNNNNNNNNNNNNNNNNNNNNNNNNNNNNNNNNNNNNNNNNNNNNNNNNNNNNNNNNNNNNNNNNNNNNNNNNNNNNNNNNNNNNNNNNNNNNNNNNNNNNNNNNAUCAAAAGCGACGUGCUAAAGGAGGGACAGCGCUGCUACCUCUGCAAAAGUGAAGGACAUUGUCCCAAGGACAAUGGUCCCUAGCCGCCUACCCGACAGAUACUGCAGAGGUACCCUGAACACUCUCCAGCGCACGCCACGUUUCCAAAAGAUGAGAUACGCCGCGAACAUGCAAAUAACGGCCCAAAAACAAUUAUAAAGAGGUAAAAGGACGUUAGCCAAAAAGGGUAUGCCACGUGGCAGCUGAGGUACUCCAUAUAUAAAGGUGCCUAGGUUUCAUUCUCCAUCAUGUUCUCACUCACCAUUAACACUCACACUCCGAAAAUAGAGGUUUUCUUCAACCUUAAACCCUAAAUUUACAGAGGGCUGGCCAGCUCUCUUUACCAUAAAAGCUUGAGUUUGCUAACUUGAGCGUCGGAGUGUGAAGCCGGGGUACCCCGGCUUCACCUCUAACCUCAAUUUCACUUUUUGCAGGCGUGAAGCUCAUUUGGAAGGACACCUCUCUUGUUUCUGACAUUCCACCAUUGUUACUACUCUCUCUCUCCCCUUCUCACCUCCCCCGGAUUUUAGAUACACCACACCGCACACAACAAACCAGUGAGGUACCCCAUCUCCCCCAAAAAUAUAAAUUUAUUGUUCUAGACUGGUUUGGCUUUUCUUACCCCAAAAUCAGUUGAAAACAAUAGGUAAAGACGACUAUUUGUUAAACUAAUCUUGAAAUAAUCAUUCACACACACCAGCAAUUGGAAGAGGGGUUGGGGUGUUGGGAAGAUAACGUUGGGUAGUUUUGAACGUGAAGUGGCCACUUAAUGUGUCUCUGAAAAUUUAGGUUUUAUUUAAGUUUUAUUUUUUCUAAUAUAUAUAUCCAACUUAAAUAACUAUUAUAAGGUCCUUCUAAAAAUAAAAAAGAAGCAAUUAUAAGGUUAUUAUCAAUGGUUUGAAGAAAAAAAAGUCAAUCAUCAUUUUUUAUUAAUCCAAGUUAAUUAUUUUUAGGCUAUUAUUUUAAUUUUUAUUAAUCUAGCAUUGUUAACCAAAAUUUGUAUGAAGCUAAACAAUAAUGUCUCUCUGAAAAAGAAAAAAUAUCAAUUAUUAUUCUCUUUUUUUUUUAGUGACGUAAUUUUCGUCAUAAAAAAAUUAAUCAGAUACUAAAUAAUUUGUCUCUGAAAAAAUGGUCAUGAAAUACAAUAUUACUCAAGACAAAAUUUUAGACUAUUAUUUUUUAGUUUUGUUACAGUAAGUAAUUAUCUAUGACAAAAAAAAAGGGUCUUAAAAUUAAUCAAAUCCAUAUUAGUUUUGGAGACUAAUAUUUUUCUGUCACAAAUUAUUUGAUCAAUUUCACAUCUCUUCUUCAGUUACGAAAUAAUAAUGUCACCUAUAAUUAAAUUUUGCUACCGUAUUUUUUUAUCAUAAAAGAUGAUAUUUUGUCAGAAAAUGGUCAAUUUUGGAGGGAAGUUUUUAAGCAAAAAAAAUGCAUGUCCUUUUGCGACUAAUUUUAUGUUUGUCGUAAAAUAUUUGAUUAGGUGACAAAUUACUGGGUCGUAAAAUAAAUAUUAUUGAUUACAAAAUAUAACAUAAGCCAAGAUGAGAUUAUUGGCUACGGUUUUAAAAAACAAUCGUCAUAAUAAAUACUAUUUUAUGACAAAAGCUGUAAAAGUCAUAGAAGAAGGCAUCUUAAAAACUCAAAUUUCUUGUAGUGGCUGUUGUCAUUUAGUUAUUGCUUUUUAUGAUAUUCAAAAAAGUGUUGAGAAAGAUGAUCAUGUUCUCUGAAGAUAAAAUCUAAGUAUUCGCCCUACUUCUUGCCUUUGAUAACAUGAAAUCUUGUAUGAAGUGAAUUGUUGCUUGAUAAAGUUAAGGAUACCAUCCGACAAUGAUAUGCUUACAAAAAGUAGUAUAAAAAAUAGCUCACCAUCACUGAAAGAUAGAUAAAAUAACCAGAGAACAAUUUUUUUUUUUUUUGUCUUUUGUACUUUUUGUACUAAAUUGUAUGAUAUUUUCAAUACAUGUAUCACUAUUUUAUUAUGUCUUGUUUACCAGUUUAGAGACCUAUGUGGCUUUUGUGUUUGAAUAGUAUGGUAUUUCUCAAAAGUCAAACGAGUCAAAUUGUACAAUUCUGAGAAAAAAAGAAGGUCUUCUAGGACCCCUUUUUUGUUUUUUUUUUCUUAACAAGACAUAAAGUGAUCUUUAUUUUUUAUUUUUUUUGAAAUCAUGUGAUUUUUAGUUUGAUAUUAUGAUUUACUUUGUCUAAUUAACUGAGUUUAUUUAGAGAAGACUUUUUUUUUCUUUUUUUGCUUUUAGAAAAUAGAAAAAUAGAUUUGGUCUAUUAUACAAAUAGGAAGGCCUUACAUUGAUGUUUCUUUUUUAAAUACUAAUUAAUAUGUUGGUACAUGAGAUCUACUAAUAUUUAAAAUCACAAAUUUAUUGGGACUAACUUAGAUUAAUUCUCUAUUACAGUUUAGAUUCUAUUCCAACAUAAGGAUAUAUUUAUAAUAUAUCAUCUCUAUUUCAUUGUCUGGGUACAUAAGUGAGAUUUUUUGUGAAAUUUCUUGCAGCAUCUUGAUGAGUUCUGGUGGUGGCAGCAUCUUGCUAUUGACAGAGCGGGGAGUGCUAAUAUAUCCGAUGGCUGGGUAAUACGUCAUCGUUUUGUUGCUUGGGCUCGAGGAAUGCCAGGUUUAGUACGGCUUUGGUGUAGAAUUGAUUUGGUACUGAUGGCAAAUUAUUGCAAUAUUUUUGAGAGAGAGGUGUGAAGGUUAAGAUUUUGCAGCGGAGAAGAAUUGAA